RNAcentral lists this long non-coding RNA (51076 nucleotides) under Triticum aestivum (bread wheat). Its description in RNAcentral is "long non-coding RNA (TAES_LNC002495)". The record is from RNAcentral. Lineage: Eukaryota; Viridiplantae; Streptophyta; Magnoliopsida; Poales; Poaceae.
GGCGGACCUACCACAUGGAUUAUUGCACUCCAUCAUUGUCCUGUUGGGUUCAACUCGUGACCUUCUUGCAUUCAUCGCCACCUGCCCUAGCUGGUAUGCCGCAUUCAUGUCAAUCAAAUCUACCUUAGGCGAGCUCUUCCCACCUGUUAUUUUCCGGAACUGUGCCGACCAGACAAGCUCAGCUGUCUCUAACAUUGGAAACACAUGGGAGCUCAUUGAUCCUGUAUAUCCAAGUACUCCGUUGUGUCGCUUGACCCCUCCAAGUAUUUUGAACAAAAUGGCAGUCAUCAAAUGUUCUUAUGGUCAUGCGAUUUUCUGCUACAAGAGAUCCCUCUUCAUUAUGGACGUGCUCACUGGCACUACGGUUGCAGCUCCACCUUUUCCAUUGACUCAACUAUGCUACAGAACCUUCAUAUCUCCAGAGGCGUCACCAGAUUCAUAUCUAUUUGUCAGCAGCCCGCACUGCCUGUAUGCUUGGCGAGUUGGGAGCCCCUCUUGGUUGCACUGCGAUUUUCUAAAUGCACAUUUGAUCAAGGAGAUGGUGUCCUUCAAAGGCCGGGUCAUUAUGAGGAUGCGUCAAAAACUAUACACCGUGCAUUUGACACCUCAGUUUCAUGUUGAGCUACUAAGACUUGAUUGCAGAGAUUAUAUGGACCCGUACGUGCUUUCUGGAAAUUUGGUGGCUUGUGAAGACACACUUCUCCUACUUGGUCGUAACGGGAAAGCCUUCUCCAUUGACUUCUCAACUGAACCUGCAAAGUAUGUGAUCGUGGAAGAGGGAGGCUUGAAGAAGUGGGCGUUCUUCUUGGGCGAGAAACGUACUGGACAGCCACGACUCUUAGUGAAUCCAGAGAGAAUGGGUUUAGGGGGUGGCCUUGUCUAUCAAUUGGAUGAAAACGCUCGAGUAUUUUCAUACCCAGUAGAUGGCAACCAACAUGAGGAGUUGGAGCCAGAACCUUGUUUUGCGACGAUCAAUGCUCAUCUUGCUCGCAAUCCUACAUCCUUUGCAGCUUGGAUAUGAGAUCGUGUCGUUGUACCGUGCAGUUGUCUUGUUGUCGUUGGCUGCACUUGGGGAUUUUUUUGUCGCUAUGUUCCUUCUAGUUUCCGCUCCUUUGACGGAGUACAUCAAGAUUUGUAAUAAUCUCUAUUUGCCACCCAGUGUACAUUCCUGGAGGCAAAACUUGUGCUACAUGUUGCUGUUUUCGCUGAACCUUGUUAAUUACUCCCGUUUUGCAUACAAGAGAUAAGGGUUUGCAUCUUGAAACAAUAUUAGCUUCUUGAGUCUUCAUAUCACUCUUCAGCAUUUUUUGUGUGCACCAUGUCGGAUGUGCCUGGGCUUUUAUUUUAGUUAUGUGCUUUGUUUGGUCCAUACAUCUGUUGGUGCAAAAUAUAAACUUUGUGAUGAAUGCAUAUAUGCUGCUUAUAUGUUUGUUGGCUAAACUUGCAGUCUAUAUUAACCUGAUGUCUAUGGACUUGCAUCCUCACUUUAAUUCUUGGUGACCUUGCAACUCUCCAGCCCAAAAUGGCGUACAAUGUUCAGUUAAAAAAUUGUAGCUCUGCCAAGCUAUGUUAUCAAUAUUCACAUUUCCACCCAAUGAGAUAGUCAUAUGCUCAAGCGCAUCACGUGAAUAAUCAACAACCAUAGUACAAUUACUCUUAGCUUUUUUUUUUGAGACAAGUUACUCUUAGCUAUCUAUGCAUGAAAAGGAAGUUACAGGCCUAGCGCAUGUUAUCAAGUGCCCAGGUACAAGAAAACUCCACAAUCUGUAAUAAAUGAGAAAUAAAACAUAUGGGUCCCUUGUAAUUGCCGCAGAAAAAAAGAGGAAAGUACAUAAUCUGAUAAUUUAAUCUACACUUCUGUUUGUAAUGCAAGUUUUGAAACACGUCACGAACAUUCAGUGAACUACUCAUCUUGCUACUGCAACAUAGUAGAAUCCUCCCACCAAAGCUGUAUCAGAAGCUAAUCACGGUAACAAGGAAACAUAGUAGAAUCACUGCAACAUAGUAGAAUCCUCCCACCAACCGCACUCACGGCCGUAAGAUCAUCGCAGGACGUAACAAGGAAACGCGUGGGGAAGACCCAGGUUGACUCCAAUUUCAGGUAACGUCUUCCAGUGUUGAAGAGCUGUGUCGAAUGGUAAUAACAUUUUUUCCGUAGUUGGACUGCAGCCCAAGGUUUUUCAGACUGAUAACUUGGGAAGUAUAUGUGGUUGCUCCUUCCUCCCCAUCCCUCCGGGUUCAUGCACGGCAACGCCUCGCACCGCUCGUCAACGCUGAUAAAGAUGGCCCAGUUAUCUAACUUGUUCACUUUCACCCACCUUGCCUUCUUGGUCAUGGUGUCCAAUGACUCAAGCUUGAAGGCCAUGAACUGGAAGGCCUCCGAGCGCAUCCGUCUUCCCGCCUCCACAAGUUUGAUCAAGAGAAGCGUGUCACCACACACCACUAGCCAUGCUUUUUCAUUUGCCGAAUAGAGAUCUUUGGUUUUAUCUUCCUCGAACACAACUUUAAACUUCUCAACAAUGAGACUGGGUGACAAGUGAAUGAUGUAGAACCACCCGAAAGACCCUAGGGCAUAUGUCUUGUCCUUGAAGGCCACAUUUUGUUCAAUCGAAAAAUGACCAACUUUAGGACUCUGUUUUGUCCAAGAAUCGCUCCCGAUGCGCCACAGGAACAGAUAGGCUCCAGCACCGACAAGGAGAUAUGAGUCAGCAGAUGCAACAGGGGCAGUUAAGGUGACAUAGCUGAUGCAAGUGAACUGAAUUGACUGUAGGGAAGGAGGGCCAAGCUUAGCGCCACUGAAUGGAUUAACAAUAUGGAACCCAUUGUUGUCAUAGAAGAUGAGCUGACCGUAGGAGUAGCGCAGAAAGGUCAUGCUUCUGAGGUCACUCGAGGAGAGAAAACUGCGAGAGGAUGAGGUGGCAGCAGGGUCACCCAAUCUCCAUGUGCAUUUGUGGAAUGAGGUCCAACAGUUAUGCGAGAGAGCCUGUCGACAAGUGGCUGGACAGGGGCUGGAGAAGCAGAGGCUGGACAGAGGACCUGUGUGCUGAGAAGAGAUCACACCAAUGGCGACAAGUGGUACCGAAGGGGAGGAGGUCGCGGAACGAGCGUAGUAAAGCGACAAUGGGUCGGAGCAGGUCGUCCUGGAGCUCUGCCCAUCCUUGCGGCCGAGAUGAAGCAAAGAGUGAGGAGACAGAAGCAGAACAUGUCCUGUUGGCCAUUAUUUGCACGAUGGCACUCUCCCUGUUCGACACAGCAAAUUCAAGAAAAAGGUUAGGCAUGGAAACAAGGUAUAACUUAACUGUACAGGAAUUGCCUGGUGCGUUUCUUUAGGACAUCAACGCCACACUACGUUCCCAUCAUGCACUGAACUGAACAAAGGUACUAAUCGCAUUGAGUUGUCGCUCCCUAGAAGCUCAGAACAAGAUCAACAAUGAUGAAGGCACGCUAGAUUGACGGGUUGUUGAAGUUUCAUGUAGAUCUUGGUUCAUACAGAUUACACACCACAAUUGCCUUGCAUUUCUCAAACAAAUACUGUAUCUGGCAAGUGUCGAUGCUGACAGAAAAAUAAAAGCAGAUCACAUAUGAUUUUCCUAGCAAAUUGAGAAUCAGCGACCGACACCCUCUAUUAUUAUCUGCAAUGUUGGAGAUCUAAAGCAGGGAAAGUCUCAAUUUGGAUUGCUUUUCUUUUUCGAGAAUAAGCAGAAAGAAUCCAUCUAUGCCUUAAUCCCUACUUGCAGAUGUAGGCGGAUCUGAUGCAACAUCUGCAGGUGAAGAGAAACGGGACGAGGAUGAGGAAGCAGCCGCCGAGUAAGCGACGAGGAUGAGGAAGCAGCCGCCGAGUAAGAAGGAUGCGCGCCGAAUAUGGGGGUAUUACAUGUCAUCUUUUUCUCUUCCUUGAUGCCAUCAAGAUGUUGAGGCCUUGUAGGGAUCCGAAUGAUGGGGCAUGCUAGACAGGGAAAGCAAAAGGUUUGUAAGCACAAAAAGACGAUGGCGAUGAGCUAGACCAGUCUUUAUUCCUGUCAUUGUUAAACAGCAACAAGGUGCAUAUAUAUGUGCUCUGUUUUUCCAUAUUGGCAACUAGCAUAUUUUCUUUGGACCUAAAGGAUAAAGGGGUCUUCAAAGUGAUCCCAUCCACAUGGAAAAAGAGAUGUGCUGGAAAUCUGUCCAAACAAACCUUUUUUUAAGAUGAAAGAUCUGUAUAGUUGUUCAACAGUUGAUCUUCGACAGAGGAUUAGGAUCGAAAUGGUUCUGUAAAAUCUUACAAAGAUAAGGAUAAACAGUAUAGGUUUCUAGUAUGAAAAAAUGAAGAAUGACAGUAGGUUUAUAGCUUACCGAAUGAAUAAUGAGCAGAGAUGCUAGCUGGUAGGCAGUAUGAAUUUGCAUUUUGGGCUUAGCCACAGGUCUAGUAUGAAAGAUAGUUGCAGGCCUAGCCCAUGUUAUCAAGUGGCUCAAUUACAAAAAAUCUCUACAAUUUCUAGUAGAUGAGAAAUGAAAUAUAAUAAGGGUCCCUUGUAAUCACCACACAAGAAAAGUAGAGUUCAACAUCAGUAACUUUGGAAAACAAGUCAGCAACAUUCAGUCAACUACUCGUCCUGCAACUGCAACAUGGUAGAAUUCUCCCACGGAAGUUGUAUCAGAAGCUACACCAGACGCAUGUACGAUUGCCCCAAAGAUCAUCACUAACCAGAGCGAGGAAACGUGCUUGGAAUCACCCAGGUUGACUCCAAUCUGCGGUACCGGUUUCCAGUGUUCUCGAGCUGCGAAUGUGUUGAACAGUCGUUAUGUUUUUGCCAUAGUUGGACUGCAGCCCAAGGUUGUUCAGGAUGAUAACUUGGGAAGUAUAUGUGGUUGCUUCUGCCUCCCCAUCUCUCUGGGUUCAUGCAUGGCAAUGCCUCGCAUCGCACGUCCGCGCUGACAAAGAUGGCCCAGUUAUCCAACCUGUCCACCUUCACCCACCUUGCCUUCUUGCUCACGGUGUCCAACGACUCAAGCUUGAAGGCCUUGAACUGGAUGACCUCCGAGAAUGUCUUUCUUGAUGCCUCAAGUUUGAUCAAAAGAAGCGCGUCACCGCACGCAACAAGCCAUGUUUUUUUAUUUGUCCAAUAAAGAUCUUUGGUUCUAUCUUCCUCAAGUAUAACUUCAAACUUCUGAAUUAAGAGACUGGGUAAGAAUUGUACAAUGCAGAAGGACCCGAAAGACCCUAGGGCAUAUGUUUUGCCCUUCAGGGCCACGACUUGUUCAAUCUUAAGAAAAUUAACUUUAGGAUAGUGUUCGAACCAAGAGUCGCUCCCGAUGCGCCACUGGAACAGAUAGGCUCCACUGCCAACAAGGAGAUGUGAGUCAUCGGAUGCAUCAGGGGCAAUCAAGGUGGCAUAGCUGAUGCUGGUGAAGUGAUCUGACUUGAGGCAAGGAGGAACAACCUUAGCGCCGCUGAAGGCAUUAACAAUGUAGAACCCAUCAUCGUCGCAGAAGAUGAGGUGGCCGUAUGAGUAGCGAAGAAAGAACAUGCCUCUGAGGUCACUCAAGGAAAGCAAACUGGGAUAGGAUGAGGUGCCAGCAGGAUCAGCCAAUCUCCACGUGCAUCCUUGCAAGGUCGUCCAGCGGUUAAACUGGGGAGAUAGUUUGCUGUCGGCACUCGGGUGUAGGAGGAGAGGCUGCAAAGAGCACGUGCAUACCGAGAAGAGAUCACGCCAAGGACGACAGGUGGCACCGAAGGCGAGGAGGUCGCGGGAGGAGCCGAGGAGAGCAACGACACAUUGGAGCAAAUCUUCCGGGAGCUCUACCCAUCCUCGUGGCCCGGAUGCGGCAAAGACAGAGGAAGCAGAGGCAUAGCAGGUUCUCUUAGCGCUGAUUCGCAUGGCAACGCUCUCCCUGUUGGACACAACAAAUUCAGGGCAAAAGGUUAGGCAUGCGAAGCUAGAUAUAAUUGUAUGAAAAAGAAGAGGAGCUGCCAAGAUUCUAGGAAACAUGACCUGAGCUAACAAAGAUACAGAUUAUACUGAGUUGUUGCCCCUGAGAAGCUCAGAAUAAGAUCAACAACGACGCAGACACUGAAUUUCAGUUCUACAGAGAAGCUAUACGCGGUAGAUACAGGUUGCUGAAGUUUCAUAUAAAUCUUUGGGCCUACUGAACUGCAUACCACAAUCGCCUGUUUCUCAAACUAAUAAUAUCUGGCAGGUGCCGUGUGCUUUGAUACUGACUGACAGCACCUAGUUGUCAAACUGAAUCAGCCAAAAAAAUGCAAUGUGGGAGAUCUAAAGUAGGGAUGGUUUCAAUCUGGAUUGUUUGCCAUUGACAAUAAGCAGAAUCAAUCUUUGCCUUAAUUAUAUCAACCAAAUUCAGUUACAUAUCGAGGUACAGUGUGAUUAAUCUUACAGAAGAUAUAGGUGGAUCUGAUGCAACAUCCACAGGUGAACGAAAUUAACCAGAAAAACAAGACGGAGGGGAAAGAAAGGGAGAUGGAGGAGUACAGGACGAGGUAGGGCUUGGGGCUAUUACGUCCGCGACGAGGACGAGGACGAAGAAGCGGUCGCCGUCGCCGAGGAAGGAGGAUGCCCGUCGAUCUCCCGCGGCUGCGCCUCCAUGUGCGCCGCCGUUUCUUCCUGUUCUCGGAUGUUGGAGCAGCGCAGCCUUCUGAGCGCAGAGCCUCGAUAUUUUUCCAUCAUCCCGUUGUAACGCUGGCCCGGCCUAGUCCAGGGAUAAUGGGCCGAACAUGGGCAAUAGAUUCCUACCUGCUCUAGGGCUGUUUUUUUUAACACAGUACAGACGCAAGCGCUCAUACAUACGCGCAUACACUCACCCUAUAAACGCAUAUAUGCACACUCUAUUCGUAUGAGCACUUUUGAGAUACUGAGCGGGCAUAUCAUUUGAGAUUUACGAAGUCAUCGUAGGCAUCUCGUUGUCGGAAGUGGAUCCUCUAACAUGAAGGAGGGAAGUCAUCUAAACUACAAUUCUCUAACUUCCCUCCUUCACUUCCAAUAUGAUUAAGGCUAAGAUGACUCGAAUUAAUUUGCAAAUUACAAAUCUACUUUAUACAUUUACAAAAAUUACAUACAAACAAAAUUAUGGUGCAAUAAAAAUUAAUUUUGGAUUUAUUUAUAUCAACAAUAGCUGUGUAUAGUACCUACUUAAGUAGAUGAUAGAGUGAUUGCUACAGUAUCCGUGACUUUCCUUCUAUGUUUUACACUAGUCUGCACUGUAGCUUAGGUGACUUUCCUCCUUCAUGUUAGAGGAUCCACUUCCCUCGUUGUCGACGGGAACAUCUCCUCCCGCUGAAAGCGCAUCGCCGAAAAUCCUGAAAUAAAUCCAGGAGUAAUGCGAGCAUCAGGACAUGAACCCUGGUGGGAUGGGAAUACUACUGGCUCUCUAACCAUCCAACCACAGGUUGGUUCGCCUAUGGCUGUGUAUUUUAAGAGGCGUUCAGCUUGGAUUCCCAGGUUGUUCCGCUAUGAGAAGAUGUGGGAAUCCCGGGGAAAGUUUGUUUUUGCCACUCUAGAUUUUGCCAAUUUUCUUUAUGCCAUUCUAGAUUUUGACAUUUCACUUUUGCUACUCUUAGCUUUUGACAAUUAUCACAAUUGCCAAUACGUGGCAAAAUCAAAAUAAACUUAUUUCAUUUUUGCCACUCUUAGCUUUUGAAAUGUAUAACAAUUGCCACUCUGAUUUUUUUUACUUUAGCCACGGGAAUGACAAUUGUGUUAAUUGUCAAGAACUAAGAGUGGAAAAUGUGAAAUGUCAAAAUCUAGAGUGGCAUAAGGAAAAUUGGCAAAAUUUAGUGUGGCAAAAACAAAAUUUCCCAAAAAAAAAAGAUGUGGGAGACUCGUGGUAAAUUUGAUGGGGUCGGGCUGGAGUGUCGGAAGUGCAGAAGAACUUGGAUGAAAUUUUAGAAGAGAAAGACGGAGGGAAGGGAGAGAGAGGUGGAGGAGAGGACAUGGCAAGGUAGGGCUUAUUACGUCGUCGAGGACGAGUCAGCAGUGGCUAAUGACGUCGAGGAAGAUGGACACGCUUGAUCUCCCUCGGCCGCGCCUCAAUGCACCGCCAUUUCUUCUAGCUCUCCGACGAGUAGCACAGUCGUAAACGACAUAUCCUAAACGACGCCUUAAGCACAGUUCCUUCUAUUUCCGCAAUCGGACGCACACUUCUCCGCGCUGGCCGACCCAUCUUUAUCCUUUUUUGUUUUAGAAGACAAAAAACUAUGUGCGAUGGGAUCUUGCUUCCAUGUGCACGCUGCAGUAACAUACCGAUAGACAAAGGGAACUGCAUACAGGAUUAGCUGAAUCCUUAGCAUCGAGGUUCGUCGACCGAUAAGAUCUUCAAAGAAUACGUAGGAACCAAUAUGGGCAUCCAGGUCCCGCUAUUGGUUGUUGACCAUAGAGGUGUCUCGGCCAUGUCUGCAUAGUUCUCGAACCCGCAGGGUCUACACACUUAUCGUCUGGUGACGAUAUAAGUACAAUUGAGUCGUUAUGGUGGUUGACGAAGGUUGUUCGGAGUCUCGGAUGAGAUCCCGGACGUGACGAGGAACUCCGGAAUGGUCCGGGGGUGAAGAUUGAUAUAUUGGAUCGAGGAGGUGAAGGCAUCAUCAAGCCGUACGUGUGUUGAACGCGGAGGUGUCGUCCGUUUGGCACUUGGAUCGGGAGUUCACGGGACGGAUCGUGAUUGGAUCGCAAAGACGUUCGAAUACAUCAACCACGUUUCUUAAUGCUUCCGCUUAGCAAUCUACAAUGGUACAUAGAUGCAAUCUCUUCUCUCGUGGAUGUUCAUCUCCUAGAUUGAUCUUGGUGAGCGUAGGAUUUUUUUUUGUUUCCCAUGCAACGUUCCCCAACACCGUUCCCCUCCUUGGAGGUGCCGCUCGGGUCUGUCCCUCUGCCCCUUCCCCUCCUUGCCUCCCGGGAGAAAUCCCCAACGCUGUUGGGCGGCGGUGGCGUCCUUGGUGUCGCGUCCUCCUUGAGCAAGGUGGGAGUGGGGUUUCUCAGAGAUGUGUUUCGUGUGCAGCGGCGACUGUAGCUGAUCUCCCUCGACGACCGCGACUUCCUAAAUGACUCCUUCAUUUCGGGAGCUCUCCGGUCUACUGCGCGGUGCCCUGUCUGGCCUGUGGAUUCUCCUGGGCAUGAGGGGAUCGGGUUCCCCUCAUUCGACGACCCUUCUCAGUGCACCAUGAGAGUAUUAGCCCCUCUUUCGGUACCUGCAUUUCGGUUCUCAAUGUCUUCCAGAGAGAUCUAACUGUUUCUCGUCUUUGUCCGUUCCGACAACUCUUCCUUUUUGUGACCAGUCGGUGGGAUUCGGUGGUGCUCUGCUCUUGGUGAUGUGUUCGUGACUUGUUGGGUGAGUUAUUUCUUUUCAGAUGCAGCCUGCCGACAACUAUCUCCCAGGUUCUAGGGUGAACUGCUCCUCUUGUCAAUGGUGCGGCGCCUUUCGAGCCAGGCGAGGAGGCAGGGGCCUUCUUUAACAUUGGAGCUGGGCGGAUGUGUAGGGUCGGGGUUGCUGGUGAUUAGGCGACGGCGUGCCCUUCUUCAUCGUUGGACAUGUUGAUCCAGUGUGGGCAUUCUUCUUCUUCCAUGGCGUUUUGGUCGCGUGGAGGGCCUCUUCAUCUCUGAGCUGUGUUUCUCCCAGUCGGUCUUUUUAGCUUGGUGUGUAUGAGGCUUGUGAGCUUCUUUCCAGCGCCUUUGUAUCUUGCCGUUUUCCUUUUUUUCUUGUGUUGGUUUCGAGUUUGUAAUCCUGGCCAGUUGAUGACUUUGUUAAUUCAAAGUCGGGCUCUUCUUGAGCCUUCGUUAUAAAAAAAUAUCUCUCUUAAAUACCUAUCAAAUUAGGACCAAUUUCAUAACACGUGAACAAUCAAUCCCCGUCCGAAGACUCUGACACCAGGAAUGGCACCGACAAUCCCUCCUCGUGCCGCCGACCCUACACGGAGGGCUACAGACGCUCCGGUGAAUGAAAUGACAAAGGAACAACGAGGGAAUGGUGUGUAUAGUCUCGACAAUGAUCAUUGAUACUAGGGAUGAUGGAACCAAGAGUUGAGAUGCUAGACAAUGGCCCAUGCAGAUAGAAGAAUGUAAGUACAUUAACAACAAUGCAUGAGCAUAGAUCUGGAUGGAUAAAUGAUUCUAGUGAAGACGAGAGUAGCUUAAAUUCUAUUUCUAUUCUAUAUAUGCAACUCGAAGAACAAAACAAACAAAUAUAUAGUCCAACCCUUGUUGGCUUCUAAACAUCAUCUUGACACAGUUACCCAUGAGGAAAAAGUGGAUUGCUAGAGGGCGGGAGAUUAAAAAAAGAUUUGGAUGGAUUGUUUUUUUUGAAUCGUCCGAUGAGCAGCCAACGACCAGAUGGCCUUCUGAAAGUGCUAGUUAUCGACUAGAGGGGGGGGGUGAAUAGGCGAUUUUUACAAAAGUCUUCAAAACAUGAAAGUUUCGAAGACAAUCAUGAAAACUAGACCUAUAAACAUGUAGCGGAAGAUGAACUACACUAGACAAGCCAUAGUCAAACAAGUAUGAAGCUAAAGCAUGAUGACUGAUAGCAGCUAUGUAGUAGGAUCAGGAUGGAAGAUAGUAUGAAGCCAAUCAGAACAAGUAGUCACACAGUGAAGACAAAUAGGUAGAGUAAUCAGGCAAUGACUUUACAAAGACAAGCUGUAAGUAAGGAGAGUAAGAGAUAGAACCAGUGUGUUGUGAAGACAAGGAUUUGUUCAACCAGUUCCAGUUGCUAUGACAACUGUACGUCUGGCUAGGGAGGUUGAGAUUGAACUCAGAAGACCGUGUCUUCACCUUAUUCCCCUUGAGCUAAGGACACACAGUCCCCGCCCAAUCACUCUGUUAAGUCUUCAAGGUAGACUUCCAAACCUUCACAGACUUCGUUCACCGGCCAUCCACAAUUACUCUUGGAUGCUCAGAACGCGACGCCUAACCGGCUGGAGGAUUCACAUUCCUCAAGUGUAACAAGUCUUCAGAUCACGCGGACAAAAAGACUUCAGUGAUGCCUAACACUCUUUGGCUCUGGGUGUUUGGGCUUCGUCGUCACAAGGAUUUCUCUCUCUCAAAAGCUUCGGAGGUGGGUUGCUCUCAAACGACAAAAGCCGUGCACUAACUCUGAGCAGCCACCAAUUUAUGGUGUAGGGGGUGGGCUAUUUAUAUAGCCACUAGGCAACCCGACCUGAUUUGUCCGAAAUGACCCUGGGUCACUAAGGAACUGACACGUGUCACAACGGUCAGAUUUCAAACACACGCGACAUCUUGACUUGGGCUACAAGUAAAGCUGACUUAUCCGACCCUGGAUAAGAUUUGCUCUCAUUGUCUUCGCUCGAAGACAUAGGAUUUUGGUUGAGCAUCACUUCAGUCACUCUGACUUUGUUCACUUGGACCCCACUUAACAGUGCGGUCGUUCCUAUGACUCAACAAAGAAGAAAAGAAACAACAAAACUGCUAAGUCUUUGCGCUCCAUAGUCUUCACUCAAUGUCUUCUAUAGUCAUAGUCUUCAAUGUGAAUAUCUUCACGUACCACCAUUAUCUUCAAUGUCUUCAUACAUUUUUAGGGGUCAUCUCCGGUAGGUAAACCGAAUCAAAGAGGGACUACUACCUGUGUUAUCCUGCAAUUCUUACAAACACAUUAGUCCCUCAACCACGUUUGUCAUCAAUACUCCAAAACCAAACUAGGGGUGGCACUAGAUGCACUUAAAAUCUCCCCCUUUUGGUGAUUGAUGACAAACUGGUUGAAGUUUUCAACGGGGAUAUAAGUAUGUGAAAUAUGUGAAAUUGUAAAGGAUGAGGUAUUGUCUUCAUAAGUAGCCAAAGGCUCCCGCUGAAGAUGUGCAUAUAAGUAAUUUGCCUUUGGAAUGCAAAUGCACAUGGCAGGUUCUACUUGUGGAGAUCCUCUUCAACUUAUGACGACAAUUCAUCAUGCAUGAUUUGAUGUAGUGAAGAUAAUGACAUGCAUAAUGAAAAAUGGACGUCUACAAAAUGAUUUAAGUGCGGAAGUUAUCAUCGCACAUGCGGAAUUUAUCAUCGCAUCACAAAAUAGCAAAUAAGUAGUAGACGACCAUCGAGUUUAAGUGUUACAACUCAGAGAACCAAAUGUAUCAAGAGAAAGAGUUGUAAACACUAGGCAAAAUAUAAAGCAACCGCCCAUAUGAACCCGCUUGAAAACUAUCAACUCAUAGCUUCUCCCCUUUUUGUCAGUAAGGACCAAAAAGGGUUGAAGACAUUGAGCCUCUACUCGUCCCCAGAAGGAGUAGGAGAAGAUGCAGGGUUGGUGUCGAGGUUUGGCGGUGCAGAAGAACUUGGAGCAGUGUCGAUACGUGUUGGAGGUGGCGAAGUGGCAUCAUCUUGAUCAUCGAUCACACGAGCAUUCACGGUUGCAGCAGAAGAGGAGUACUCUGAGUCUUCAAGAGAUGGAGUGCGCCGCAGAACAACAUUUCUGGGCGGAGUGGAAUCAAACUUGAAUCUUUCUAAGAAGCCAUCGUCCUGAAGAUCUUCCUCAGCACACAUAAGCAUCAGCCCUUUCCAUGUGCGUCGACAGGUUUCAUGCACGACAAAGGCAUUCUUGGUUGCAAGGUUGCGAAUGCGAUUGAGGUUAGUCAUGAUGCUCUGCAUCUGGCGCUUGAGCCGAUCAUGAUGCCUAUCCUAUUUCUGAUGCAGGCCAACGAGAAGCUCUCGGUCAUUGAGAACACGAGAUUGCCUUCGAGGCCGUUGAGCAAUUGUGCUGUCAGUGGUGUCGGUUUGGGCACGGUGAGGUGCACAUGUAGUACCAGCCAACGGAUAGACUCGAGUGGCAGCUAGCACACCUUCAAUGGGCUGAGUGAUGCUCUGACCAUCAACAUUAUGAAGAUAGAGUGGCUCCUUGUCAGGCUCUGGAUAGAUGGCUUCAACCGACAAAUCGACAUCUGGCAAGAAGACAAUGAUGUUGCGUGCAGAUGGCUGAUAGUUGAAAGCAGUGUGAAGCUUGAUCGGACGCAUGAUCCAUGGAGCAUAGAACUUCAAGCCAAAAAUGUUGGAAAUAUGCCCUAGAGGCAAUAAUAAAAUGGUUAUUAUUAUAUUUCAUUGUUCAUGAUAAUUGUCUAUUGUUCAUGCUAUAAUUGUAUUAACUAGAAACCGUAAUACAUGUGUGAAUACAUAAACCACAACAUGUCCCUAGUGAGCCUCUAGUUGACUAGCUCGUUGAUCAAUAGAUGGUUAUGGUUUCCUGACCAUGGACAUUGGAUGUCAUUGAUGACGGGAUCACAUCAUUAGGAGAAUGAUGUGAUGGACAAGACCCAAUCCUAAGCAUAGCACAAGAUCGUGUAGUUCGUUUGCUAAAGCUUUUCUAAUGUCAAGUAUCGUUUCCUUAGACCAUGAGAUUGUGCAACUCCCGGAUACCGUAGGAAUGCUUUGGGUGUACCAAACGUCACAACGUAACUGGGUGGCUAUAAAGUGCACUACAGGUAUCUCCGUAAGUGUCUGUUGGGUUGGCACGAAUCGAGACUGGGAUUUGUCACUCCGUAUGAUGGAGAGGUAUCUCUGGGCCCACUCGGUAAUGCAUCAUCAUAAUGAGCUCAAUGUGACUAAGCAGUUAGUCACGGGAUCAUGCAUUGCGGAACGAGUAAAGUGACUUGCCAGUAACAAGAUUGAACAAGGUAUUGGGAUACCGACGAUCGAAUCUCGGGCAAGUAACAUACCGAUUGACAAAGGGAAUUGAAUACGGGAUUGAUCGAAUCCCCGACAUAGUGGUUCAUCCGAUGAGAUCAUCGUGGAACAUGUGGGAGCCAAUAUGGGUAUCCAGAUCCCGCUAUUGGUUAUUGGCUGGAGAGGUGUCUCGGUCAUGUCUGCAUGGUUCCCGAACCCGUAGGGUCUACACACUUAAGGUUCGGUAACGCUAGAGUUGUUAUGGGAAAUAGUAUGUGGUUACCGAAGGUAGUUCGGAGUCCCGGAGAUCCCGGAUGUCACGAGGAGUUCCGGAAUGGUCCGGAGGUGAAGCUUGAUAUAUUGGACAAAGGGUUUUGGAGUCCGGAAGUGUUCCGGAGGUACCGGGUGAUGACCAGCAUGACCGAAAGGUAUUUUGGGAGCCCCGGCAAGUGUUGGGGGGCUUCAUGGGCCAAGGGAAGGGGGCAAACCAGCCCACUAAGGGGUUGUGCGCCCCCUCACCUAUUCCCACGUGACCAGGGGGUUUGGGGCGCCCCAUCUAGGGUUCCCACCUCCUGGCUUGGGGGCCAAGUCACCCAAAGGGGAGAUCCCAUCUGCCCUGACCGCCGCCCCCCCUAGGGGAAACCCUAGGGCGCCUCCCCCUCCCCCUUGCCACUAUAUAUAGUGGAGGUUUUGGGGCUGCCCAACACAUGAGUCUCUCUCUCCCAAGGAGCAGCCCUACCUCUCUCCCUCCUCGUCUCUCGUAGUGCUUGGCGAAGCCCUGCUGGAGUACGCGCUCCUCCUCCACCACCACGCUGUCGUGCUGCUGCUGGACGGAGUCUUCCCCAACCUCUCCCUCUCUCCUUGCUGGAUCAAGGCAUGGGAGACGUCACCGGGCUGCACGUGUGUUGAACGCGGAGGCGUCAUUGUUCGGUGCUUAGAUCGGAAUCGACAGCGAUCUGAAUCGCCACGAGUACGACUACCUCAUCCGCGUUCUUGCAACGCUUCCGCUUAGCGAUCUACAAGGGUAUGUAGAUGCACUCUCUCUCUCUCUUGUUGCUAGAAUCUCCAUAGAUUGAUCUUGGUGAUUUGUAGAAAAUUUUGAAUUUCUGCUACGUUCCCCAAACAGUGGCAUCAUGAGCUAGGUCUAUACGUAGUUUCUAUGCACGAGUAGAACACAAGUUAUUGUGGGCGUCGAUUUUGUCAAUUUACUUGCCGUUACUAGUCUUAUCUUGAUUCGGCGGCAUCGUGGGAUGAAGCGGCCCGGACCGACCUUACACGUACACUUACGUGAGACAGGUUCCACCGACUGACAUGCACUAGUUGCUUAAGGUGGCUAGCGGGUGUCUGUCUCUCCCAAUUUAGUCGGAUCGGAUUCGAUGAAAAGGGUCCUUAUGAAGGGUAAAUAGAAAUUGGCAUAUCACGUUGUGGUUUUGGCGUAGGUAAGAAACGUUCUUGCUAGAAACCUAUAGCAGCCACGAAAAAACUUGCAACAACAAUUAGAGGACGUCUAACUUGUUUUUGCAGCAUAUGCCGUGUGAUGUGAUAUGGCCAAAAGGAUGUGAUGAAUGAUAUAUAUGUGAUGUAUGAGAUUGAUCAUGUUCUUGUAAUAGGAAUCACGACUUGCAUGUCGAUGAGUAUGACAACCGGCAGGAGCCGUAGGAGUUGUCUUAAUUUAUUGUAUGACCUACGUGUCAUUGAAUAACGCCAUGUAAUUACUUUACUUUAUUGCUAAACCGUUAGCCAUAGUAGUAGAAGUAAUAGUUGGUGAGACAACUUCAUGAAGACACGAUGAUGGAGAUCAUGAUGAUGGAGAUCAUGGUGUCAUGCCGGUGACGAUGAUGAUCAUGGCGCCCCGAAGAUGGAGAUCAAAAGGAGCAAAAUGAUAUUGGGCAUAUCAUUUCACUAUUUGAUUGCAUGAGAUGUUUAUCAUGUUUUUGCAUCUUAUUUGCUUAGAACGACGGUAGCAUAAAUAAGAUGAUCCCUCAUAAAAUUUCAAGAAAGUGUUCCCCCUAACUGUGCACCGUUGCGAAGGUUCGUUGUUAUGAAGCACCACGUGAUGAUCGGGUGUGAUAGAUUCUAACGUUCGAAUACAACGGGUGUAAGCCAGAUUUACACACACAAUACACUUAGGUUGACUUGACGAGCCUAGCAUGUAUAGACAUGACCUCGGAACACGGAAGACCGAAAGGUCGAACAUGAGUCGUAUAGAGGAUACGAUCAACAUGAAGAUGUUCACCGAUGAUGACUAGGCCGUCUCACGUGAUGAUCGGACACGGCCUAGUUGACUCGGAUCAUGUAUCACCUAGAUGACUAGAGGGAUGCCUAUCUGAAUGGGAGUUCAUUAAAUAAUCAGAUGAACUUAAUUAUCAUGAACAUAGUCAAAAGGUCUUUGCAAAUUAUGUCGUAGCUCACGCUUUAGUUCUACUGUUUUAGAUAUGUUCCUAGAGAAAAUUUAAUUGAAAGUUGAUAGUAGCAAUUAUGCGGACUAGGUCCGUAAACUGAGGAUUGUCCUUGUUGCUACACAGAAGGCUUAUGUCCUUAAUGCACCGCUUGGUGUGCUGAACCUCAAACAUCGUCUGUGGAUGUUGCGAACAUCUGACAUACACGUUUUGAUGACUACGUGAUAGUUCAGUGCGUAAUGUUAAACGGUUUAGAAUUGAGGCGUCAAAGGCAUUUUUGAAAUGUCGCGGAACAUAUGAGAUGUUCCAAGGACUGAAAUUGGGAUUUCAGGCUAGUGCCCACGUCAAGAGGUGUAAGACCUCCGACAAGUUUCUUAGCCUGCAAACUAAGGGAGAAAAGCUCAAUCAUUGAGCAUGUGCUCAGAUUGUCUGAGUACUACAAUCACUUGAAUUGAGUGGGAGUUAAUCUUCCAGUUGAGAUAGUGAUGGUUCUCCAUAGUCACUGCCACCAAGCUAUUAGAGCUUCGUGAUGAACUAUAACAUAUCAGGGAUAGACAUGAUGAUCCUUGAGCAAUUCACGAUGUUUGACACCGCGAAAGUAGAAAUCAAGUAGGAGCAUCAAUUGUUGAUGGUUAGUAAAACCACUAGUUUCAAGAAGGGCAAGGGCAAGAAGGGAUACUUCAUGAAACGGCAAAUCAGUUGCUGCUCUAGUGAAGAAACCCAAGGUUGAACCCAAAACCCGAGACUAAGUGCUUCUGUAAUGAGGGGAACAGUCACUGAAGCAGAACUACCCUAGAUACUUGGUAGAUGAGAAGGCUGGCAAGGUUGACAGAAGUAUAUUGGAUAUAAACUGUAUUAAAUGUGUACUUUACUAGUACUCCUAGUAGCACCAAGGUAUUAAGAUACCGGUUCGGUUGCUAAGUGUUAGUAACUGGAAAUAAAAGGCUAUGGAAUAAAUGGAGACUAGCUAAAGGUGAGAUGAUGAUAUAUGUUGGAAGUGUUUCCAAGGUUGAUGUGAUCAAACAUCGCACGCUCCCUCUACCAUCGGGAUUGGUGUUAAACCUAAAUAAUUGUUAUUUGGUGUUUGCGUUGAGCAUAGACAUGAUUGUAUUAUGUUUAUCACAAUACAGUUAUUCAUUUAAGGAGAAUAAUGGUUACUCUGUUUAUUUGAAUAAUACCUUCAACGGUCUUGCACCUAAAAUGAAUGGUUUAUUGAAUCUCGAUCGUAGUGAUACACAUGUUCAGGCCAAAAGAUAUAAGAUAGUAAUGAUAGUACCACCUACUUGUGGCACUGUCAUUUGAGUCAUAUUGGUAUAAAACGCAUGAAGAAGCUCCAUGUUGCUGUAUCUUUGGACUCACUCGUUUUUGAUAAUUUUGAGACGUGCGAACCAUGUCUAUUGGUGUAUACGCAUGAAGAAACUCCAUGCAGAUGGAUCGUUUGGACUCACUUGAUUUUGAAUCACUUGAGACAUGCAAAUCAUACCACAUGGGAAAAAUGACUGAAAGGCCUCAUUUUCAGUGAGAUGGAACAAGAAAGCAACUUGUUGGAAGUAAUACAUUUGAUGUGUGCAAUCCAAUGAGUGUCGAGGCACGCAGUGAAUAUCGUUAUGCUCUUACUUCACAUAUGAUUUGAGUAGAUUCUAAGUAUGUUUACUUGAUGAAACACAUGUCUGAAAUAUUGAAAGGUUCAAGUAAUUUCAGAGUGAAGUUGAAGAUCGUCGUAACAAGAGGAUAAGAUGUCUAUGAUAUGAUCAUAGAGAUGAAUAUCUGAGUUACAAGUUUGGCACACAAUUAAGACAUUGUGGAAAUUGUUUCACAACUAAUACCGCCUGUAACACCAUAGUGUGAUGGCGUGUCCGAACAUCAUAGCUGCAUCCUAUUGGAUAUGGUGCAUACCAUGAUGUCUCUUAUCGAAUUACCACUAUCGUUUAUGGGUUAGGCAUUAGAGACAACUGCAUUCACUUUAAAUAGGGCACCACGCAAUUCCGUUGAGAUGACACCGUAUGAACUAUGGUUUAGAGAAACCUAAGCUGUCAUUUCUUAAAAGUUUGGGGAUGCGAUGCUUAUGUGAAAAAGUUUCAGGCUGAUAAGCUCGAACCCAAAGGGGAUAAAUGCAUCUUCAUAGAAUACCCAAAAUAGUUGGGUAUACCUCCUAUUUCAGAUCCAGAAGCAAAAGUAAUUGUUUCUAGAAACGGGUCCUUUCUCGAGGAAAAGUUUUUCUCGAAGGAAUUGAGUGGGAGGAUGGUGGAGACUUGAUGAGGUUAUUGAACCGUCACUUCAACUAGUGUGUAGCAGGGCACAGUAAGUUGUUCCUGUGGCACCUACACCAAUUGAAGUGGAAGCUUAUGAUAUUGAUCAUAAAACUUCGGAUCAAGUCACUACCAAACCUUGUAGUUCGACAAGGAUGCGUAGUACUUCAGAGUGGUACGUAAUCCUGUUUUGGAAGUCAUGUUGCUAGACAACAAUGAACCUACGAGCUAUGGAGAAGCGAUGGUGGGCCCGGAUUCCGACGAAUGGCUCGAGGCCGUAAAAUCCUAGAGAGGAUCCAUGUAUGAAAACAAAGUGUAGAUUUUGGAAGAACUACUUGAUGGUCGUAAGGCUGUUGGGUACAGAUGGAUUCUAAGAGGGAAGACAGACAAUGAUGGUAUGUGUCACCAUUAAGAAAGCUCGGCUUGUCGCUAAGAUGUUUCCGACAAGUUCAAGGAGUUGACUACGAUGAGAAUUUCUCACUCGUAGCGAUGCUAAGAGUCUGUUGGAAUUAUAUUAGCAGUUACUGCAUUAUUUAUGAAAUCUUGCAGAUAGGAUGUGAAAACAUUGUUUCCUCGACAAUUUUCUUGAGGAAAGGUUGUAUGUGAUACAACCAGAAGGUUUUGUCAAUCCUGAAAGAUGCUAACAAGUAUGCAAAGCUCCAACAAUCCUUCUAAGGACUGGAGUAAGCAUCUCGGAGUUGGAAUAUGCGCUUUGAUGAGAUGAUCAAAGAUUUUGGGUUUAUACAAAGUUUAUGAGAAACUUGUAUUUCCAAAGAAGUGAGUGGGAGCACUAUAGAAUUUCUGAUGAGUAUAUGUUGUUAACAUAUUGUUGAUCAGAAAUGAUGUAGAGUUUCUGGAAAGGAUAUAGGGUUAUUUGAAAAGUGUUUUUCAAUGGAAAACCUGGAUUAAGCUACUUGAACAUUGAGCAUCAAGAUCUAUAAGGAUAGAUCAAAAUCGCUCAAUAGUACUUUCAAAUGAACACAUACCAUGACAAGAUUUUGAAAGAGUUCAAAAUAGAUCGGCAAAGAAGGAGUUCUUGGCUGUGUUAUAAGGUGUGAGUAUUGAGUAAGACUCAAGACCUGACCACGGCAGAAUAGAGAGAAAGGACGAAGGUCGUCCCCUAUGCUUAGACGUAGGCUCCAUAGUAUGCUAUGUUGUGUACCGCACCUGAAGUGUGCCUUGCCAUGAGUCAGUCAAGGGGUACAAGUGUGAUCCAGGAAUGGAUCACAGGACAUCGGUCAAGGUUAUCCGUAGUAACUAGUUGACUAAGGAAUUUUCUCAAUUAUGGAGGUGGUAAAAGAGUUCGUUGUAAAGGGUUACGCUGAGGCAAACUUUGACACUAAUCUGGAUGACUCUGAGUAGUAAACCGGAUUCAUAUAGUAGAGUUGUUAUUUGGAAUAGUUCCAAAUGGCGCGUGAUAGCUGCAUAUAGGAGAUGACAUAGAGAUUUGUAAAGCACAGACGGAUCUGAAAGAUUCAGACCCGUUGACUAAUGAACCUCUCUCACAAGCGAGAUAUGAUCAAACACCAUGGGUGUUGGAUUCAUGACAAUCACAUAGUGAUGUGAACUAGAUUAUUGACUCUGGUGCAAGUGGGAGACUGUUGGAAAUAUGCCCUAGAGGCAAUAAUAAAAUGGUUAUUAUUAUAUUUCCUUGUUCAUGAUAAUUGUCUAUUGUUCAUGCUAUAAUUGUAUUAACUAGAAACCGUAAUACAUGUGUGAAUACAUAGACCACAACAUGUCCCUAGUGAGCCUCUAGUUGACUAGCUCGCUGAUCAAUAGAUGGUUAUGGUUUCCUGACCAUGGACAUUGGAUGUCAUUGAUGACGGGAUCACAUCAUUAGGAGAAUGAUCUGAUGGACAAGACCCAAUCCUAAGCAUAACACAAGAUCUUGUAGUUCGUUUGCUAAAGCUUUUCUAAUGUCAAGUAUCGUUUCCUUAGACCAUGAGAUUGUGCAACUCCCGGAUACCGUAGGAAUGCUUUGGGUGUACCAAAGGUCACAACGUAACUGGGUGGCUAUAAAGGUGCACUAUAGGCAUCUCCGAAAGUGUCUGUUGGGUUGGCAUGAAUCGAGGCUGGGAUUUGUCACUCCAUAUGACGGAGAGGUAUCUCUGGGCCCACUCGGUAAUGCAUCAUCAUAAUGAGAUCAAUGUGACUAAGCAGUUAGUCAUGGGAUCAUGCAUUACAGAAUGAGUAAAGUGACUUGCCGGUAAUGAGAUUGAACGAGGUAUUGGGAUACCGACGAUCGAAUCUCGGGCAAGUAACAUACCGAUUGACAAAGGGAAUUGAAUAUGGGAUUGAUUGAAUCCCCGACAUCGUGGUUCAUCCGAUGAGAACAUCGUGGAACAUGUGGGAGCCAAUAUGGGUAUCCAGAUCCUGCUAUUGGUUAUUGGCCGGAGAGGUGUCUCGGUCAUGUCUGCAUGGUUCCCGAACCCGUAGGGUCUACACACUUAAGGUUCGGUGACGCUAGAGUUAUUAUGGGAAAUAGUAUGUGGUUACCGAAGGUAGUUCAGAGUCCCGGAUGAGAUCUCGGACGUCACGAGGAGUUCCGGAAUGGUCCGUAGGUGAAGAUUGAUAUAUUGGACGAAGGGUUUUGGAGUCCGGAAGUGUUCUGGAGGUACCGGGUGAUGACCAGCAUGACCGAAAGGUAUUUCAGGAGCCCCGACAAGUGUUGNNNNNNNNNNNNNNNNNNNNNNNNNNNNNNNNNNNNNNNNNNNNNNNNNNNNNNNNNNNNNNNNNNNNNNNNNNNGGGCCAAGGGAAGGGGGCAAACCGGCCCACUAAGGGGCUGCGCGCCCCCCUCACCGUAGGACCUUGAAGUAUGUCUAGAGGGGGGGGGGGUGAUUAGACUACUUGACCAAUUAAAAACUUAGCCUUUUCCCAGUUUUAGAGUUUGGCAGAUUUUAGCUAUCUUAGGACAAGUCAAGCGAUCAUCGCACAAUUCAAGCAAGCAUGCAAAGAGUAUAUUGGCAGCGGAAAUUAAAGCAUUCAACUUGCAAGAAAGUAAAGGGAAGGGUUUGGAGGAUUCAAACGCAAUUGGAGACACAGAUGUUUUUGGCGUGGUUUCGAUAGGUGGUGCUAUCGUACCUCCACGUUGAUGGAGACUUCAACCCACGAAGGGUAACGGUUGCGCGAGUCCACAGAGGGCUCCACCCACGAAGGGUCCACGAAGUAGCAACCUUGUCUAUCCCACCAUGGCCAUCGCACACGAAGGACUUGCCUCACUAGCGGUAGAUCUUCACGAAGUAGGCGAUCUCCUUGCCCUUACAAACUCCUUGGUUCAACUCCACAAUCUUGCCGGAGGCUCCCAAGUGAUACCUAGCCAAUCUAGGAGACACCACUCUCCAAGAAGUAACAAAUGGUGUGUUGAUGAUGAACUCCUUGCUCUUGUGCUUCAAAUGAUAGUCUCCCCAACACUCAACUCUCUCUCAUAGGAUUUGGAUCUGGUGGAAAGAAGAUUUGAGUGGAAAGCAACUUGGGGAGGGCUAGAGAUCAAGAUUCAUAUGGUAGGAAUGGAAUAUCUUGGUCUCAACACAUGAGUAGGUGGCUCUCUCUCAAAAAUGGUAAGUUGGAAGUGUAGGUUUGUUCUGAUGGCUCUCUCCACGGAUGAAGAGGAGGUGGAGGGGUAUAUAUAGCCUCCACACAAAAUCUAACCGUUACACACAAUCUACCAAUUUCGGUGGGACCGAAUCAACAAACUCGGUCAGACCGAUUUUAGUAAACCUAGUGACCAUUAGGGUUUUCGGUGGGACUGACUUGCAUCUCGGUAGGACCGAUAUGGUUAGGGUUAGGGCAUAACGUAAUCUCAGUGAGACCGAUUACACAAACUCGGUGAGACCGAUUUUGGUAAUUAGCUAACCAGAGAGUUGGUCAGGUAAACUCGGUGGGACCGAUUCGCUCUUUCAGUGAGACCGAAAUGUUACGAAAGGGAAACAGAAAGUUUACAUUGCAAUCUCGGUGGGACCGAUCCGCUCUUUCGGUGAGACCGAAAAGUUACGAAAAGGAAACAGAGAGAUUACAAUCCCAUCUCGGUGAGACCGAGAACCCUAUCGGUAGAACCGAUUUGCCUAGGGUUUGUGGCAGUGGCUAUGACAUUUGGAAUCGGUGGCGCAGGAUAGGAAGAAUCGGUGACACCGAUUUUGGCUUUAGGUUUAGGUCAUAUGUGGAUGUGAGAAAGUAGCUGAAGGUUUUGGAGCAUAUCACUAAGCACAUGAAGCAAGAGGCUCAUUAAGCAACACCUCAUCCCUCCUUGAUAGUAUUGGCUUUUCCUAUGGACUCAAUGUGAUCAUGAAUCACUAAAAUAUAGAAUGAAGAGUCUUGAGCUUUUAAGCUUGAGCCAAUCCUUUGUCAUUAGCAUUUUGAGGGAUCCACUUUCAUCAUUCAUGCCAUGCCAUUCAUUGAGCUUUCUUGAAAUGUUCAUCUUGGAAUAGCAUUAGCUCAAUGAGCUAUAUGUUGUUAUGAAUUACCAAAACCACCUCGGGAUAGUUGCACUUUCAAUCUCCUCCUUUUUGGUAAUUGAUGACAACAUAUAGAUCAAAGCUUCGACAAUUGAUAAUAAGAUUGAAAAAACAUCGUUGCUUUGAGAAGUAUGUGAUAAGCAAGAGCUCCCCCUAAAUUUGUGCAUAGUUUACGAUUUGCUUUGGACUGCAAAUGCACAAGGAAUUAGGCUCAUGGGUUACUCUUCCAUGUCACAUACAUCUUGGUGGAGCGCUCAAAAUGAUACGGAUUAAAUACAUGCACUCAUCACCAAGCACAGUGAAUGAUCACAUAGGAUAGAUAAGUUAAUAUCAUCAAACAUGCAUAAUUGUAGCUUAUGAUCAAACACAUGAUCAUCAAUGUCUCACAAACAUAGUAACUCAAGCAACCAAAAGCAAACAAGUUUAAAAAACCACCAAAUCAAGAGAGAACAAAAGCAACACACACUCUCUCGAAGCCUAUGAUCUAUACAUUUUUCUCCCCAUUUGGUAACAAGUUACCAAAAAGUUCAUAGAAAAUGCAUAGUGCUAGAUCGACUCUCAGGCUUGAUCUUCAGGUGGUGGUGUCUGGAUAACGCCGAGGACGAAAGCUUCAGUUGAAGUAGAUGGAGCUGGAGCUGGUGUAGGUGCUGGAGUUGGUGCAGACUUGGCCUUGGGGGCAGCUUUGGGUGCUUCCUUGGGCUUAGAUGUGGCAGCCCCUGAUCUUAUAGCAUCACCCAUAAGCUUUGGUGCCUUUGGUGCUGGUGCAACAAUCUCUUCUUCCUCUUCCAUCAUGGAAGGCUUCCCAAUAACUCUGACUGUGGUCUUCUUGACCCUUUCUUUCCUUUUCUUGCCUUCAGCAGCAGCUGGCUCCUUGGGAUCAGGCUUUUCAGGAAUUUGAGUUGAUGCUCUGACCUUUGGCAUAGGUGUCCUCUUGGCAGGAACCUUCUUAUUGAGUCUAGGUUUUGUGCUAUGUGCUGAGCCAUACUCCUUUUUGAGCACUGCCUUCUUGGAUGUUGCCUCAUCCUCUUCUGCCCUAUAAUCCUCAUCUUCAGAAUCUGAGGUUUUCUUCUUCCUUUGCCUGGUGGAAGCUUUAGGCAGAUUGCUUGGGGUGCUCCUGCUGCCUUCAACUGAAGAGCUGGAGGGACUAGUGCCCUCACUCAUGUUCACCUGCCCCUCUGACCUGUUCUGACUGUCACUCUGGUCUGACAUGCUGCAAAAGACUGACUGCUGACCCUGUGAAGAGUUAUAGAUGAGGUAGAGUGGAUGAGCAUCACAAAAUGCAGAGAUUUUGCAAAAGAAUGACUCAAAAAUUCAGUUUUAGUUUUCCACAGAAAGCAUUUAGGAUCUACCGAUUUUCAAACUCGGUGAUACCGAAGAAGUUUUGGAACCUAAACCGAUGAACUCGGUCAGACCGAGUCACAGUUCGGUGGCACCAAGACUGCUAGGGUUUCACAAAGUCCUAAAAUCGGUCUCACCGAUUAGCAAUUCUCGGUCAGACCGAGUCUCACUAGUGCAAUGGCAUAAGCCAAAUCGGUGGGAACGAGUUUUUCAACUCGGUGGGUCCGAGAUGGUUUCGACGGAAACCUAACCCUAAAUUUUCGAAUCAAAACUAUUCUAAGGAUUGUUGACUGGAUAGGAGUGUUUCAAUCAUGGCAAGAAUCAAUAAUAACACAAGGUGCUGAGAAUCGGACGAGGAAAGCACAGUGAUCGAGUCCAUACCCUAGUUCAGCGGAGACUCGCUACGGCGGCAACGGCGGGGUUGAAUUCCGUUGACGGCGGCGGAUACCAGCGACAGGGGGCGGCUGGCGACGAGGAGAUGAUCCGGAGACCACGGAGGCAGAGCGAGCUAUUGCGCGGGCGAAGAGGUUCGGAGAAAUUUCCAAAUUUUUGCCCGUGACUAUAUAUAGCCCAACCCUGUCGGUGUGACCGAGUGGAACAACUCGGUGGCACCGAGAUGCAAAACUGUGUACAGUUAUUGCAACUCGGUGUGACCGAAGAGUUCAAAUCGGUUGCACCAAGAUUGAAAACCUAGAUCGACUAAGUGAUCUCGGUAGGACCGAAAUGGAGGAAUCGGUCAGACCGAGAAUCACAAAGAAGUUUUGGAAGUUUAAGUCUAUGACGAAUCGGGGACUCCGAUUGCUCCUCACACAGAGUGGUUCGAAUCUGACUUGAUCAAAUUUUGUGAUGUAGCAUGAAUAGAGUUUGAGACGAGAAAAGCAUAGAUAGCUAGAGAAGGUUCUUAGGCGUUCUUGUCCAUCCACUUGGCCAAAGAAAAAGAAGCCAGUCAAUCAAAAAAACAAGUGGAUGUCCUCGAAUGAGUAAUGUAUGCAACCAACAUGCUCACACAAUGAGAUGGCAAAUGAAAUAUGUGGCAAAGCAUGCACAACCAAUUCUAGCAUCUAUCAAACAAUUGGCGAUGACUAGGUCAUCUAUAUAUGAGUAUAUUGACUUAGGAGUCAAAUGAGAACAUUUGAUCAUAGGUCAUACUCAUCGUUUAAGCUCAAGUGGGGUUACCACUUUUACAUAAAGCAUUUAUGUGUUCACAUCAUUAGAGUUUCUUUGACUCAAUUCUUAGAGUUAAGCUCCCCCUAGAUGUGAGAUCCUCCCAUAGAGGGAUAAACUAACCUUGGGUUUUGUCGAUGAUGAUUUCAUGUAGGUGUUGAAGAUGUGGAUGCUCAAUGUUGAUGUAGAUCUUUUUGGAGCAAUCCUUUGGAGUGAGUUGCACUUUCAAUACCUACAUGGGUUAGUCCCACAAGGAAGAAACAAGUAUAUCCAUAGACAUAGAGUGAUGCACACACAAAAUGAUGUCCAUGAAAACAUUAGGUUACCUUGUCCUUGCCUUACCAACAUGAGGGUUUGUCACUCCUUGAACUAGUGCAAGAUAUGGAAGUUGAUUGCACUUGUCCUUGCCAUAAUGAUAUGAGUGAAAUAUGUUGGCGGAGUCACCCUCAAGAACUCUCUAGUUCUUCUUCUUCGGGAUCCACAUCAUCUUGAUGGGAAUCCUUGGAGUUGUAGUUGUACUUGAUGAGGUAGAACUUGACGUAGUCUUGGGAAUCCACUUGACCAAGGCCUUAGGUGCUUCUUCAAAUGCAUCAAUCUCCUCUUGAAGCUUGUCCUUGCCUUUGUUCUUGUGGUCUUGUGGUGGAAGAUCAUCUUGUGCUUGUGUUCCCUUGAAGGAAGUAGGAUCAUACUUCUCUUGUUGAGGAACAAACUUCGUCUUGGGGUAUUGAUCUUCUUCCCACUCAACUCCAUUGGCAUUGAACUUUCGUUCAAAACCAACACCUUGAUUCUUCCGGUGCCUUCCUUCCUUGCGUACAAUUUCCUCGAAUUGCUUACUUCCGGCAAGGCUCUUGUAUACACCUUUCUCUAUAAUUCCCUUCAAUAAGCUAUUUUCUUGCUCAAGUGUAACUUGGCUAAGAGAAUCAUUAGUGGAAUCAAGAGAACUACUAGAAGCAACAAUAUUGGAUUUAGUAUUAUUAUUGUUACUACUAGAAGAAGAAUCUUUCUUGUUCUUGUUACUAGACUUGACUUGAGGCAUGUAAGUGGAUAAGAGUAAACGCUUGGCAAUGUAAGAAGAACUUUUCUUACGAAGAUCAUCAUUGAUUGCCUUUAAGAACUCAUGCUCUUGCUCAAGAUUGAGCUUUUCAAAGCGUAACUUCUCAUGAGCCCUUAAAAGUUCUCAAUGAUCUUCAAAGAUAGUUUCAUGAGCUAACUUAAGAGUGUUUAGUUCUUUAGUUAGACGCUCAAUUUUCUCCUUAUCAUUGUCAUUCGUUUCAACUUGAUUAGCAUGAUUAAUUGACAUUUCAUCAUAGUAUUCAUCACUAGAGUUGUCAACAAGUAAAUCAUCAUCACCUAGCAAGUCAUCUUCAUUACUAUUGAAAUCAACAUACUCGGGGUGUGUUACCUUUGGACCUUUGGCCAUGAAGCAUCUACCAAUUCCUUCAUUUGGUGACUCAAAUAUGUCGUAGGAGUUGGUUGACACAAGUCCUAGACCGGCAACACCUUCAUCUUGAGUAUAUUCGGAGUCGGAGUGAUGGUCGGAGUCAGAGCCAGAUACCCAUUCACCAACAUGAGCUUGAUGUCUUCGUUUUAUGUAGCUCUUUGAUGACUUGUCCUUCCUUUCCGAAUCCUUGCUUCUCCGUGAGGAUCUUCGUUCAUAACGAUCAUCUCUACUCCUUCUCUCUCUUGGUGGUGAUUCUUCUUUUCUACUUCUUCUUUUUGGAGAGUCUUCUCUUCUUUUGUAGGGUGCCGUACACUCAUUGGAAUAGUGUCCGGGUCUCCACAAUUGUAGCAAUUUCGCUCUCGACUAGAAGAUCUUUUGUCAUUGUAAGUCCUUGACUUGGAGCUUCUUUCUUUGCUUCUACUCUUGUAGAAUUUGUUGAAGUUCUUCACCAUUAAGCUCAAUUCUUCAUUGAAGGUGUGUUUCUCACUUGAUGAUGUGGGGGAUUCACUUGAGGCUUUGUAAGCACCACUUGACUUGUUGUGAAGUUCCUCCUUAUCCUUAAGUGACAUCUCAUGAGCAACAAUUCUUCCAAUGACUUCCGUUGGCUUGAGAUCUUUGUAGUUUGGCAUCAUUUGGAUCAAUGUGCACACGGUAUCAUACUUUCCAUCCAAUGCUCUUAGGAUCUUCUUGAUGAUGAAUCUGUCGGUCAUCUCUUCACUCCCUAAGCCGACAAUCUCAUUUGUGAUAAGUGCAAGCCUAGAGUACAUUUCAACGACACCUUCACCAUCCUUCAUUUUGAACUUGUCAAGCUGACUUUGGAGCACAUCCAACUUGGAUUCCUUGACGGAUUUGGUACCUUCAUGCAUAUGAAUCAAAGUAUCCCAAAUUUCCUUUGCAUUCUCAAGACGGCUGAUUUUGUUGAAUCCUUUGGGGCACAAUCCGUUGAAGAUGAUAUCACAAGCUUGAGCGUUGUAUUGCAACAUCUUCAAUUCUUCCACAUUAGCUUCACGGUUCGGCUCUCUCCCAUCAAAGAAUUCACCUUGCAAGCCAAUACAAAUAAUUGUCCAAAAGGCGGGGUUAUGUCCGAGAAUAUGCAUUUUCAUCUUAUGCCAACUAGCAAAAUUAGUACCAUCAAAGUAAGGACCUCUACGGUGAUAAUUUCCCUCGCUAGAUGCCAUACUCUCCUAGGUUGUGAAACCAAGGCUAUGACCACCAAAAGCUAUGGAAAUCAAGGCAAAUGGAGACCAAUGCUCUGAUACCACUUGUAGGACCUUGAAGUAUGUCUAGAGGGGGGGUGAUUAGACUACUUGACCAAUUAAAAACUUAGCCUUUUCCCAGUUUUAGAGUUUGGCAGAUUUUAGCUAUCUUAGGACAAGUCCAGCAAUCAUCACACAAUUCAAGCAAGCAUGCAAAGAGUAUAUUGGCAGCGGAAAUUAAAGCAUGCAACUUGCAAGAAAGUAAAGGGAAGGGUUUGGAGGAUUCAAACGCAAUUGGAGACACGGAUGUUUUUGGUGUGGUUCCGAUAGGUGGUGCUAUCGUACCUCCACGUUGAUGGAGACUUCAACCCACGAAGGGUAACGGUUGCGUGAGUCCACGGAGGGCUCCACCCAUGAAGGGUCCACGAAGUAGCAACCUUGUCUAUCCCACCAUGGCCGUCGCACACGAAGGACUUGCCUCACUAGCGGUAGAUCUUCACGAAGUAGGCGAUCUCCUUGCCCUUACAAACUCCUUGGUUCAACUCCACAAUCUUGCCGGAGGCUCCCAAGUGACACCUAGCCAAUCUAGGAGACACCACUCUCCAAGAAGUAACAAAUGGUGUGUUGAUGAUGAACUCCUUGCUCUUGUGCUUAAAAUGAUAGUCUCCCCAACACUCAACUCUCUCUCAUAGGAUUUGGAUCUGGUGGAAAGAAGAUUUGAGUGGAAAGCAACUUGGGGAGGGCUAGAGAUCAAGAUUCAUAUGGUAGGAAUGGAAUAUCUUGGUCUCAACACAUGAGUAGGUGGCUCUCUCUCAGAAAUGGUAAGUUGGAAGUGUAGGUUUGUUCUGAUGGCUCUCUCCACGAAUGAAGAGGAGGUGGAGGGGUAUAUAUAGCCUCCACACAAAAUCUAACCGUUACACACAAUCUACCAAUCUCGGUGGGACCGAAUCAACAAACUCGGUCAGACCGAUUUUAGUAAACCUAGUGACCGUUAGGGUUUUUGGUCGGACUGACUUGCAUCUCGGUAGGACCGAUAUGGUUAGGGUUAGGGCAUAACGUAAUCUCGGUGAGACCGAUUACACAAACUUGGUGAGACCGAUUUUGGUAAUUAGCUAACCAGAGAGUUGGUCAGGUAAACUCAGUGGGACCGAUUCGCUCUUUCGGUGAGACCGAAACGUUACGAAAGGGAAACAGAAAGGUUGCAUUGCAAUCUCGGUGGGACCGAUCUGCUCUUUCGGUGAGACCGAAAAGUUACGAAAAGGAAACAAAGAGAUUACAAUCCCAUCUUGGUGAGACCGAGAUCCCUAUCGGUAGAACCGACUUGCCUAGGGUUUGUGGCAGUGGCUAUGACAUUUGGAAUCGGUGGCGCCGGAUAGGAAGAAUCGGUGAGACCGAUUUUGGCUUUAGGUUUAGGUCAUAUGUGGAUGUGAGAAAGUAGCUGAAGGUUUUGGAGCAUAUCACUAAGCACAUGAAGCAAGAGGCUCAUUAAGCAACACCUCAUCCCUCCUUGAUAGUAUUGGCUUUUCCUAUGGACUCAAUGUGAUCAUCAAUCACUAAAAUAUAGAAUGAAGAGUCUUGAGCUUUUGAGCUUGAGCCAAUCCUUUGUCAUUAGCAUUUUGAGGGAUCCACUUUCAUCAUCCAUGCCAUGCCAUUCAUUGAGCUUUCUUGAAAUGUUCAUCUUGGAAUAGCAUUAGCUCAAUGAGCUAUAUGUUGUUAUGAAUUACCAAAACCACCUAGGGAUGGUUGCACUUUCACUCACCUAUUCCCACGUGACCAGGGGGUUUGGUCCGCCCCAUCUAGGGUUCCCACCUCCUGGCUUGGGGGCCAAGUCACCCAAAGGGGAGAUCCCAUCUGCCCUGGCCGCCGCCCCCCUAGGGGAAACCCUAGGGUGCCUCCCCCUCCCCCUUGCCCCUAUAUAUAGUGGAGGUUUUGGGGCUGCCCAACACAUGAGUCUCUCUCUCCCAAGGCACAACCCUACCUCUCUCCCUCCUUGUCUCUCGUAGUGCUUGGCGAAGCCCUGCUGGAGUACCGUGCUCCUCCACCACCACCACGCCGUCGUGCUGCUGCUGAACGGAGUCUUCCCCAACCACCUCCUCUCUCCUUGCUGGAUCAAGGCAUGGGAGACGUCACCGGGCUGCACGUGUGUUGAACACGGAGGCGCCAUUGUUCGGUGCUUAGAUCGGAAUCGACCGUGAUCUGAAUCGCCACAAGUACGACUACCUCAUCCGUGUUCUUGCAAUGCUUCCGCUUAGCGAUCUACAAGGGUAUGUAGAUGCACUCUCUCUCUCUCUCUCGUUGCUAGAAUCUCCAUAGAUUGAUCUUGGUGAUGCGUAGAAAAUACUGAAUUUCUGCUACGUUCCCCAACAAAAAAUGUCAGAUCCUGAUGCAGCAAGUUGGCGGAUGAAGAAAUCCUGUGCAUUCAGGCUUUUGCCAUGAAGAAUAUGGAAGACCAAUGUCUUUAUUGCACCUUCUAGCUUAGCCUUUGGAGAAUGUCCUUUGAUGGGCCAGAGAGUUCGCCUUAUGAUGUGAUAGAUUGUGCGUGGCAGAUACUCAAGGUCAUCAACAAAGAACUCCGUAGGAUAUUCUGCAUCUGGAGGCAAUGGCUUCAUCAUGCUGAGCAUCUGGCUCAUGUCGGGUUCUGACUUGUGAAAGAUGCUUUCCAAAGCUGCAGUGUGAAGCUGAUAACCAGGCUCAUAGAGAUCCCCUGGAGUGGGCAGGCCAGUAAGCUCAAUGACAUCAAAUGCUUUGGCUUCAUGAUGGACAUUUCCUGUCAUCCACUCAAGCAUCCAAGUCUUAGGAUCCCUGUAGUAGCCUCUGAUAUGAAGAGUGUCAUAGAAUUGAAGCAGCAACUCUUCAUUCCAGUGCUCCUUAUCAGUGACAAAGUGCAGCAAGCCAGCCUCUCUGAAGCAAUCGAGAGCUUCUUCUAAGAAGGGCAGGACAACUAUGGCUUUAGUAUCAAGGCGCAUAUGCGGAAGUAUGCGGCCUUGGUUGUACAGAAUGCAUGAAUAAUAGCGGCGCUGCUGAUAACUCUAGAACCGAUUAGAUGAAAUCUUGGGCCUGGUGUAGGGGUUCUUUGCUCUAUCGAAGAAGGUGUUGUGUGCAAUGAAGCCGUUGACAUUGAAAGAUCCUGGCGAAGUGGCGGUACCUGGAAAUUUGGGCAGUCUUGGCUUUGGCUUCUGAACCUGAGGCCUGUGCUCGACAUGGUAAUCAAAUUGAGGACCAGCAGCAGGUGGAGGAAUCAGAAUAGGCCAUCUGACAGUGAUAAGCUGGCCAUAGUUGUAUGCUUGCUCGAUAGUAUGUGGCCUUGGAGGCGGAACAGGAGCAGUGGCAUUGACUUCAGGCUACAGAUUUGUGUCAGGUGCGGCAUUGACUUCAUCUUCUUCAUGGGCUUCAUUGGCUUCAUUGGCCACUGGUGCAUUGGCCACUGUAGGCUCCACAUUGGCUUCGGCCAUGACAACGUCAUUGGCUUCAGGAAUGUCAUUGGUGGUAGCCUCAGGAUUUUCACCCUCCACUUGAGUAGCUGGAGGUUCUGGCAUAGACUGGUUCUCUUCAGGAACUUCUUCUUGAGUUGUAGGGGGAGUAGCGACACGCUCUUCUUCUUGUGUUGCUCUAGCUGAUGCAGCCGGAGGGUCUUCAGCAGCAUUGGCUUCAGACACAGGGAUCGUCACAGAAGGAUUGUCUUCAGGAAACACUUGACGUGCCACUGAACUUGACAAGUUUGAGCCCUUUUCUGUGAUGGUGGUCAUGGAGACGGAUGGUCUCAGGCCUUUGCGAAGCCAUUGGAAUACGGGCGAUGCCUUUGGUGAUGGUGAUGUCUCCAUGUAGUUGUCAUCAUUGGACAUGGGGCUGAUGACGGGCACAGAUGACGGUUGGGGUGUACUUGGUGAGUCUUGAUGUGGGGUAGCUUGCUGGGGGCGAUCAACCCACGAUGCAUCUUGUGAGAUUGGUGUCAAAGGACGACCAAUACUGAUAAGCUCACUGUUCGUUUGAACAGGCGAUGAUACCGUUGGGCGCUCGAUCUGAGGAAGAACUACAUCAUCUUGUACAAUGUCUUCAGUCGCGAUGGGGUCAACGACUGGAACUUCUUGAGAUUCAGGAGCCUCUGUGGAAGUAGGCUCAUGAACAAUCAUCCGACGCUCUUGGUUUGCAGACGAAGGGGGAACAAAAGCAAGGGGUUCAACAAUAAGGGGCUCUGUGGGAGCAGCCCGAUCUCUCUUCUUGGGUUUUCUCUUCUUGGGGGGUGGUGCUUCAUCAGUGGUGCGCUUGGUUUUCCGCUUCCUGGCUUCGGCUUCAGCUGCCUUGGUUUUCUUAUGUUCAGAAGCCGCUGAAGGAGCCUUGGGCUUCGAGCCGUGCAUGCUAGCAGGGAAGACAAUGUGUGGUUCUUCCUGCCGUGGUGCUUCAGUGUUGGCUUCAGAUGACUUCUUUUUCUUGGCAGCCAUUGAGGGGUCAAUGUCAGGGCGGCCAAGUGCCUUGCGCUUUUCAGCUUCAUUGUAGGCUUGAACGCAUUUGUCUGCCAGUGCUUUCAUGCGCUCUCUUGAGCCUUUGGCUUCCUCGCGUUUCUUCCGAAACGACUCCUUGAGGUCAUUGAGUAUCACCUUGAACUUUUGCAUAUCAGCCACAUUCAGCUUGGCUACAUGCUUCUUGAACUGUUCCUUCUCAAAGUCUAUCUUUCGCUUCAGUUCAACUAUGCACUGAGCCAGAGCAAGCUCAGGAGCAAUGGUGCCUUGGAAAGCAACGCUGACGCCAAUGGGAAGCUGAAGGUCAUCAAAGCUGAGAUCUUGAUUGUCAAACCACUCAUCAAUGAAGUUCUUCAGAAUGUUUACAUCAGAGGGGCAGAUCAUUGAAGAUCUCCGCCUCUUGCUUGCUCUUGAUCAGCUGCUCCAGAGCAUCUUCACCAAAUUCUUCAUCUGAAGACAAGUCAAUGGCUUCAGAUUCAUUCCUCAGAAUGGCAGCAGGUGUCAGUGCAUGACUCAGUUGCUGAACUGGUGUCUUCUGUGUCUUCUCACGCCUCAUCCAGAUGCGAGAGAGAUCUUCAGAGAUAUUACUGGGAGCAGAAGGGGCAGUUGCCAAUGGCUUCACUCUUGAAGCUUUUGGAGCAGCAAGUGAUUUUGAAGCUUUAGUCUUCUUCUGCUUCUGCGGCUUUGGAGCAGGAGCUGGAGCUUCAUCGGUGUCAGCAUCAUCAUCAGAAUGAUCCACUUUGGCACCUUGAACAGUGAUGUGAGUGAUAAGUCCAGGAAGGUUGUAGAAGGGGCCGAUCCUGUUCUCAUUGGCUUCACGGGUGCCAUUGUCCCGAGGUGAGGAAGGACCAGGGUUGAAGUCAAGCCCUAAAUCCUUCUUGUUCUUUGCAGCUGAGUCUUUGGCGAACUAGUAGUUGCGCUUGAACAGAUUGUCUUCACGACACCAGAGCAGUGAAGAAGGGUCAGCAUUUUCAGGCUGUGGUCCGCGCACCAUGCAAGGAUAGAAGCCUUGCUCAAUAGCUUCAGCCUGAGUCCUGGGUGGAAGAUUUUUGUACAGAAUAUCACCCCAGGGUGCCUUGAUGGCAUUCUUCCUAGCAUAUUCUUGAGUGAUGAAGUGAUAUUUAAACCAUUCUUCUGCCCAAUAUCUUCGAAUCCAUUGGAUUCGAUUGCGUUCAGCAUAGGUUUCUUUUGAAUCAGUUUUGUACAUCUCGUGCAAAUCUGGAGGUAAGUCCUUGGAAGUGUUACCACGACGCUGUUUGCCUCCCUUUCUUGCUGAAUUUUCAGUUGCCAUGAAGUGUAAACUGAAGGGCUUCAGUACGUGCAAUGGCUUCAAAUGGAUGGACUGACAGGAACUCACUUCAGGUGAGUUGACGUGACUCUGCAAGAAUUUUGCAAACGAAUGCAGACUAUGAGAACCAAGGGAUUCUCCCACGGACAUGUACCUGUGACAGCAUUAAAGGUGCGAGGGAAGGGGAGGAGGUCAUAUGCAUUCUCAGAAGAUUUUGAAGAUAAAUCAGUUUGAAGACAUUGACCUCAUAACGGGAAGACAUUCACUUAUAUGAUGAGAGUUGGUUCCAGAGUUGUACAAAUCCAAGAAUAAGUACAAGUGAGGAAUCUAACUUGUAAAGAAGCAUAAGUGAAUAUACUAGGCAGAGUAUGAGAUGCAGAAAGAGAUAGAUUCAUGUUUGGAGAUCUAGAAACCACUUUUGGUAGGAAAGGAUGAAUCUAUCAGAUCAAAAAGAUGGUAAAAAGUAAACUUUUAUUACCACACGAAGAACUGCUAGACGAAGCGAAGAUGGAUGCCGAGCAGUUCGAUCUCCCGUGCCCUAACUUGGCGACGGAAGACACCUACGGCGACGGCGGAGAAGACGAGGUCCGCGGCCGGCGUGAGGACGACAUCGAGGAAGUCGCGGCAGCUAAGUGCUCCGCCGUCGGCGUCGUCGAGAGCUAGCGGAGACGCUUGGGUUUGCGAAAGAUGGCGAAGGAGGAAGAAGGAUUUUUGACCGAGGCGAGACAGGUAUUUAUAAGGACAGAGACAACACAAUGCAAUUACGCAGGUGCCCCUGGUGGUUCACAUCUGAAAGACACGUGGCUAACAUGCAACUCAUUGAGAGUUGUUCCACGUUCCCACGCGCGCCUGGAUUGUCGGGGUGGUCGUUCCGAAUUCUCCGGAUUUCGGGCAAAAGGAUAUGUCAUUAAAACUAGAUAUAAAUGUUUGUCUCUGUAUCUUCUGCUGACAAGGACGCAGAGAAGACAUUCGACAGUUUCAACAGAAUGCAUAUGAUUUGGAUAGAUAGAGCUUGAGGUAGAAAGCACAGAGAGGUUAGGGUCCGAUCACAUUCACUUAGUUCAAAAUAUUCAAACAAGAAGACAUAGCCAUAAGUGAAUGCUGUAGAGGACAGAAUACUGUAUAUAUGGCGCCAUGAGGAAAGCCAAAUCAAUAAUCACGAAGUCAUCAAAAUACUGUAUAUAUACAGAAUACUGUAUAUAUAUAUAUGACAGAGUAAAGCCAAAUCAAUAAUCACGAAGUCAAAUUAACGUUGAAGAUAAAUCAAUUGCGAAGACUUUGCAAAUAUGGCGCCAUGAGGAAACACUUCAUAAGAGUUUGGUGGUGGCGUUACCCAUUGUAUAUGAAGUAUUAGACCCAGACACGGCGCACAAUUAUCGUGGCGCUCUGAAGUCAAUUUCCGCAUUAAUGUAUUCACACUUAGAGUGUAUGUCUUCAUUGAUUGAAGAUAUACAUUACUUCAUGUGUUGCACAUCUAAGUCAUCAAAAUGCAUAAGUGUUAGGAUGUGUGCCUAAUCACAGGACCUUCGAGGAUUCCAAGAUAUUUAGCUCACACCGCAACUUGCAAAACCUUUUCUCAUCCAAGGGCUUAGUGAAGAUAUCAGCCAACUGCUCUUCUGUCUUGACAUGAAUGAUAUCAAUAUCUUCUUUCAUAACAUGAUCUCUAAGGAAGUGAUGACGAACUUCAAUGUGCUUUGUCUUCGAGUGCUGAACUGGGUUAUUAGCAAUCUUGAUAGCGCUUUCAUUAUCGCAGUAGAGUGGCACAUGCUUCAGAUGGAUGCCAUAGUCCUUAAGAGUUUGCUUCAUCCACAGAAGCUGAGCGCAGCAAGAUCCAGCAGCAAUGUAUUCUGAUUCAGCAGUUGAGAGUGAUACACAGUUCUGCUUCUUUGAAGACCAACAGACAAGAGAUCAACCCAGAAAGUGACAUGUGCCUGAUGUAGACUUGCGGUCCACCUUGUCACCAGCAUAAUCAACAUCCGAAAAUCCAACCAUAUCAAACUCUGAGCCCUUUGGAUACCACAAUCCUAGUGUUGGGGUGUAAGCCAAAUAUCAAAGAAUUCGCUUCACAACUAAGUGAUGCGACUCCUUUGGUGCCGCUUGAAAUCAGGCACACAUGCAAACACUAAGCAUGAUAUCUGGCCUAGAUGCACAUAAGUAAAGUAAAGAGCCAAUCAUGGAGCGGUAUACCUUUUGAUCGAAAUCUUUACCAUUGGCGUCGGGGCUUAGAUGACUUUUGGUUGGCAUUGGCGUCGUGAAUCCUUUGCAGUCUUGCAUUCCAAACUUCUUCAGGCAAUCUUUGAGAUAUUUUUCUUGAGAUAUGAAGAUGCCGUUGCGUUGCUGACGGAUUUGAAGACCGAGAAAGAACUUCAGCUCUCCCAUCAUGGACAUUUGAUAUUGUUCUUGCAUCAUGUGACCAAAUUCAUCACUGUAUUUCUUGUUGGUGCAACCGAAGAUAAUGUCAUCCACAUAGAUUUGGCACACAAACAGUUCACCAUCGUAUGUCUUCGUGAAGAGAGUGGGAUCUAGAGAACCAGGUUUGAAGCCUUUGCUCUUCAGGAAGUCUUUGAGUGUGUCAUACCAAGCACGAGGGGCUUGUUUGAGGCCAUAUAGUGCCUUGUUGAGCUUGUAUACCAUAUCAGGAUGUUUUGGGUCUUCAAAGCCAGGCGGUUGUGCAACAUACACUUCUUCUUCAAUCUUUCCAUUGAGAAAGGCACUCUUCACAUCCAUUUGAUAUAGAAGGAUGUUAUGAUGAUUUGCGUAAGCUAGCAGUAUGUGAAUGGCUUCAAGCCUAGCCACUGGAGCAAAUGUUUCAUCGAAGUCAAUUCCUUCAACUUGUGUGUAUCCUUGAGCAACGAGCCGUGCUUUGUUUCUGACAACUUGACCAUGCUCAUCUUGUUUGUUGCGAUAUAUCCAUUUUGUGCCUAUUAUGUUGUGCUUGCAAGGAUCAGGACGCUUGACUAGUUCCCACACAUUGUUCAGCUCAAACUGUUGAAGCUCGUCUUGCAUAGCUUGAAUCCAUUCAGGUUCCAUGAAGGCUUCAGCAACUUUCUUGGGUUAAGAGAUUGAGACAAAUGCAAAGUGCCCACAGAAAUUUGCUAGCUGUGUUGCUCUUGAACGAGUGAGUGGUCCAGGUGCAUUGAUGCUAUCAAUUAUCUUCUCAAUUUGUACUUCAUUUGCAACACGAGGAUGAACUGGACGAAGAUUUUGCUCAUGCUGAUCAUUGUCAUCAUUUGAAGGAUUGUCUUCAGGCUGAGCAAUGUCUUCAGGUUGAUCAGAUGCAGAAAUGAUAAGUUCUUCUUCAGGCUGGGCCCCUGAUGGUAUGAUCUCUCCUGUUCCCAUUAGCUUGAUUGAUUCACUGGCAGGUACUCCAUCUAGCACAUUUGGCAGGUGCUCUCUUUGCAAGCCGUUAGUUUCAUCAAACCGCACAUCCACAGUUUCAACCACUUUAUAGUGAAAGAGGUUGAAGACUCUGUAGGAGUGCGAGUCCUUUCCAUAACCAAGCAUAAAACCCUCAUGUGCUUUCGGUGCAAAUUUUGAAGUGUGAUGUGGAUCCUUGAUCCAGCACCUAGCACCAAAUACUCUGAAGUAGCUUACGUUUGGCUUCUUACCAGUUAGAAGCUCAUAGGAUGUUUUCCUCACAAGCUUGUGAAGACAAACACGGUUGAUGACAUGGCGUGCAGUAUCAAUGGCUUCAGGCCAGAAUUUUCUUGGAGUCUUGUAUUCGUCAAGCAUCGUUCGAGCCAUCUCAAUAAGGGUUCUGUUCUUGCGCUCCAUGAUGCCAUUCUGGUGAGGUGUGUAAGGAGCAGAAAACUCAUGAGUGAUGCCUAAGGUAUCAAGAUAAAGGUCGAGGCCUGUGUUCUUGAAUUCAGUGCCGUUUUCACUCCUAAUGUUCUUGAUCUUGACGCCAUAGUUGUUCAUGGCGCGAUUGGCGAAGCGUCUGAAGACAUCCUGCACUUCAGUCUUGAAGAGAAUUAUGUGCACCCACGUAUAUCUUGAAUAAUCAUCAACAAUAACGAAACCAUAGAGACAAGCAGUUGCAGUGAGAGUAGAGUAGUGAGUGGGACCAAACAAAUCCAUGUGGAGCAACUCAAAAGGUCGAGAUGUAGUCAUGAUUGUCUUCAAGGGAUGCUUGGCCCUUGUCAUCUUCCCAGCUUCACAAGCUCCACACAGAUGAUCUUUCUUGAACUUGAUGCCUUCGAUGCCUAUGACGUGCUUCUUCUUGGCGAGAGUGUGUAGGUUCCUCAUGCCAGCAUGCCCUAGCCUCCGAUGCCAGAGCCAUCACUCUGAAGACUUUGCUAGAAGACAUGCGCCCAUCUGUGGUCCUGCUGAGAAGUCUACCAUGUACAGAUCAUCUUUCCUGUACCCUUCGGAGACUAGAGACUUGUCAGAUUCCAUUAGUACAAGGCAACAAUAUUUUCCAAAUAGCACAAUCAUGUUUAAGUCACAAAGCAUCAAGACAGACAUUAAGUUGAAACCAAGGGAUUCAACAAGCAUCACUUUGUCCAUGUGCUGAUCCCUUGAGAUUGCAACUCUACCUAGGCCCAAUACCUUGCUUUUACUAGUGUCAGCGAAUGUGAUGUGACUUUUAUCACAUGGACGUAAGGUUAAGUCCGUGAGAAGACUUCGAUCACCAGUCAUGUGGUUAGUGCAUCCGCUGUCCAUAUCCAUUCUGAAGCACGAGGUGUCAUACCCUACAGUGCAGUUAGGAGGAUAGGCUUCACAGAGAGUAUUGUGAAGCAAAAACAUUUGACGCACAAGAGGAUUAUCAAAGCUCAGAUCAAGGUUAGGACUGAUAGUAUGACUGGCAAGCGAUUCAGGAACGAAAUACAUAGUAAGACCAUUUGGGAAUUUUAUCUUGCGUCCCAUAAUGUGUUUUAGGUCCCCAGCAAUAGCAUCGGACGCCUUUGAUUUCCGGCUGGAGACCUUUCCCUGCAAAAGAAAGUUAAUUCUUCUUAACCACCCACAUCUUCAGGGGUGGCUUAGAAGCAAUGAGUCUAAAGUGCAGCAUCUGAGAACUUCGGCUUUGGAGCCCUAGCAAAUAGCCUUGCAGGAGAAGAACGAUACUCAUAUGAAUAAGCAGAAAAGUUCUUAGUUCUAUGAACAUAGCUAUUUGAAGACACACGCUCAUAUUCAUAAGUAUGAGAAUGGUUUCCCUGCAAAACAUUGGCGUUAGGGUGACUCAGGUGAGUCCUGUAUCUGUAUGAAGCCUUUGGGCCAUAUGAAGCCAUAGGUCUAGGGUUUGUCUUCUUCCUUGGUGGUGUCAUGAUGACAUUCACAUGAAGAUUCUCAAUACACUGUUUAGGUACCCAGAUCUUCUUCAUAGGUGGUCCAUUCCUGCAGUUAGUACCAAUAUACCUGGCAAACACUUCACCAUUCUGAUUCUUAAACAGUUUAUAGUUUGCAUCAAAGGAUUCACCAAUAGCAAUUGGGUUAGCACAAGUAAAUCCAGAUAAGGUAGAUGGAUCCAUUGAAGGUUCCUUUGCAGCAACCCAUGUGGUUUUGGACUACUGCUCAGGCUUCCAGUAAGAACCAUCAACAUUCAUUUUCCUCUCGAACCCAACACCCUCUUUCGUAGGGUUUCGGUUCAAGAUCUGCUUUUUGAGGACAUCACACAGUGUCUGAUGCCCCUUGAGGCUUUUGUACAUUCCUGUUUCAAGCAAUGUCUUCAAUCUAGCAUUUUCAUUAGCAACAGCAGUGGCAUCCUCUGCAGAGGGGUUAGUUACCACAUCGACGAUUGAAGAUAUUGAAACGGUAGCAGCAGUAGAACACUCAGCAACAGAAUUAGCGUUAUCACGCUCAAGACAUUUUAAACAUGGUGGUUCAAAUCCUUCCUAAGCGGGACUGAUCUGUUGAGCGCGAAGUGACUCGUUUUCCUUUUAAAGAUCUUCAUGAGCCGCUCUCAACUUCUCAAGAUCUUGCUUCCUUUGAAGAUAAUCAUAGGAAAGCUUUUCAUGGGUAGUUGAGAGUGAUUCAUGACGACCUUCAAGCUCUUGGUACUUAACAUGAAGAUUUUUUAUAUCUUCAAUUAAGGACUGAGAUCAGGUCAUUUCAGCGUCCAACAUAUCAUCGCUUUUGUCUAACAGUUUUUGAAUAUGUUCCAUAGCUUUAUGUUGUUCAGUUGCAAUUUUAGCAAGUGUUUUGUAGCUGGGUUUGGAUUCACAAUCAGAAUCAUCUUCACUUGAUGUUUGAAAGUAAGCAUCGCAUGAGUUUACCUUGGCACCGCGUGCCAUGAAGCAGUAAGUGGGAGCGGAGUCGUCCUUGUCACUGGCAUCAGAGUUGGUGAUGGAUACAUUGUCUUCAGCGUUGAAGAUGGACUUGGCAACGUAGGCUGAAGCUAAAGCCAGACUUGCAACGCCAGAGUCAGACUACUCCUCGGAUUCCACCACUUCUGCCUCCUCAGAAGCAGACUCCUCCUCUGAAUCCAUUUCCUUGCCAACAAAAGCACGAGCCUUGCCAGACGAACUUUUCUUGUGUGAUGAAGACUUGGAAGUUGACUUGGAAGAAGAUUUUGAGUAUUUCUUCUUCUUCUUGUCAUCAGAAUCAUAUUCCUUGCUCUUCUUCUUUUUCUUCUCAUUGUCCCACUUUGGACACUCAGAGAUGUAGUGACCAGGUUUCUUGCACUUGUGACAGGUUCUCUUCUUGUGGUCACUGGAAGAAGCUUCAUCAUUUCUUGAUAUGGAUCGUGAAGACUUUCUGAAGCCUUUCUUCUUAGUGAACUUCUGGAACUUCUUCACAAUCAUAGCAAGCUCCUUUCCAAGGUCUUCAGUUUCACCACAACUGCAGUCAGAUUCUUCUUCAGAUGAGGAAACAACCUUUGCCUUCAAAGCGCGAGUUCGGCCAUAGUUGGGACCAUAGAUAUCUCUUUUCUCAGAUAGCUGGAACUCAUGUGUGUUAAGCCUCUCAAGUAUGUCAGAUGGAUCGAGUGUCUUGAAGUCAGGUUGUUCUUGAAUCAUAAGAGCUAGAGUGUCAAAUGAGCUGUCAAGAGAUCUCAGAAGCGUCUUGACGAUUUCAUGCUUGGUGAUCUCAGUGGCGCCGAGAGCCUGAAGCUCGUUUGUGAUGUCAGUGAGACGAUCAAACGUGAGCUGGACAUUUUCAUUGUCAUUUCUCUUGAAGCGGUUGAAGAGGUUGCGUAGGACACUGAUUCUUUGAUCUCUCUGAGUUGAAACACCUUCAUUGACUUUGGAGAGCCAGUCCCAGACUAGCUUCGAUGUUUCCAAAGCACUCACAUGACCAUACUGCCCUUUGGUCACAUGACCACAGAUAAUGUUCUUCGCAGUAGAAUCGAGUUGAAUGAACUUCUUGACAUCAGUAGGGGUGACACCUUCACCAGUCUUGGGAACGCCGUUCUUGACGACAUACCACAGAUCGACAUCAAUGGCUUCAAGAUGCAUACGCAUCUUAUUCUUCCAGUAGGGAUAUUCAGUGCCAUCGAAGACAGGGCACGCAGCGGAGACUUUGAUUAUCCCUGCAGUCGACAUAGCUAAAACUCCAGGUGGUUAAAUCGAAUCACACAGAACAAGGGAGUACCUUGCUCUGAUACCAAUUGAAAGUGCUAGUUAUCGACUAGAGGGGGGGUGAAUAGGCGAUUUUUACGAAAGUCUUCAAAACAUGAAAGUUUCAAAGACAAUCAUGAAAACUGGACCUAUAAAUAUGCAGCGGAAGAUGAACUACACUAGACAAGCCAUAGUCAAACAAGUAUGAAGCUAAAGCAUGAUGACUGAUAGCAGCUAUGUAGUAGGAUCAGGAUGGAAGAUAGUAUGAAGCCAAUCAGAACAAGUAGUCACACAGUGAAGACAAAUAGGUAGAGUAAUCAGGCAAUGACUUCACAAAGACAAACUGUAAGUAAGGAGAGUAAGAGAUAGAACCAGUGUGUUGUGAAGACAAGAAUUUGUUCGACCAGUUCCAGUUGCUGUGACAACUAUAUGUCUGGUUAGGGAGGUUGAGAUUGAACUCAGAAGACCGCGUCUUCACCUUAUUCCCCUUGAGCUAAGGACACACAGUCCCCGCCCAAUCACUCUGUUAAGUCUUCAAGGUAGACUUCCAAACCUUCACAGACUUCGUUCACCGGCAAUCCACAAUUACUCUUGGAUGCUCAGAACGCGACACCUAACCGGCUGGAGGAUUCACGGUCCUCAAGUGUAACAAGUCUUCAGAUCACGCGGACAGAAAGACUUCAGUGAUGCCUAACACUCUUUGGCUCUGGGUGUUUGGGCUUCAUCCUCACAAGGAUUUCUCUCUCUCAAAAGCUUCAGAGGUGGGUUGCUCUCAAACGACAAAAGCCGUGCACUAACUCUGACCAGCCACCAAUUUAUGGUGUAGGGGGUGGGCUAUUUAUAGCCACUAGGCAACCCGACCUGAUUUGUCUGAAAUGACCCUGGGUCACUAAGGAACUGACACGUGUCACAACGGUCAGAUUUCAAACACACGCGACAGCUUGACUUGGGCUACAAGUAAAGCUGACUUAUCCGACCCUGGAUAAGAUUUGCUCUCAUUGUCUUCGCUUGAAGACAUAGGAUUUUGGUUGAGCAUCACUUCAGUCACUCUGACUUUAUUCACUUGGACCCCACUUAACAGUGCAGUUGUUCCUAUGACUCAACAAAGAAGAAAAGAAACAACGAAACUGCUAAGUCUUCGCGCUCCAUAGUCUUCACUCAAUGUCUUCUACAGUCAUAGUCUUCAAUGUGAAUAUCUUCACGUACCACCAUUAUCUUCAAUGUCUUCAUAUAUACAUUUUUAGGGGUCAUCUCCGGUAGGUAAACCGAAUCAAGGAGAGACUACUACCUGUGUUAUCCUGCAAUUCUCACAAACACAUUAGUCCCUCAACCACGUUUGUCGUCAAUACUCCAAAACCAAACUAGGGGUGGCACUAGAUGCACUUACACCUUCUUCCACCUAUUGUCCUCCCCUAUUCACCUUCUUCCUCAACCUGUCCAUGACCAUCGGCCGAACCACCUGCCUCCGCCACCCCUCUCUCCUCACCAUCGUGUUGGUGCUACCCUGGCCAUCCCUCUAAACAGACAAACCACUAGAAUUUCUCUGCGAGCCCGCAGCCCGAACCAUUAACCUUCGAACUCGCCUCCAGCGGCUACGACUCGUUCCUAGCCGAGGCCUUGCCGACAUCUUGCCCCGGUGCCACCAAGGUGAACACCAUGUCCCGCUGCGCUUCCUUCUUCCUUCCCAAUUAAAUCAACUGAGCCAAAUCCAAAAAUCAGGCAACUUCUGCCGGCUCAAUUGGAGAAAAAGACCAACAUGAACGCAUAUAUAACAUAUAACACUAACUCAUUUGGUCUACAAAUGUAAAGCUGGUUCAUCUAAAUUUAAGCUGGAAAUAUAGCUGCAAAACCAACAAACCAAAAAUAGCACGCACAGACCAAAAGCAAAGUGUUUCUUUUAUCAAAAUCAGCGGUAUCAUUAUAAGCAUUUGGGCAAUGACUAGAUUUUAGUAGUCCUUAAGCACGCACAUGCUUUGCCCUUGCAACAACAAAUUUGUAGCCCAACACAAAAUGUGUUGGCAGGGCUCUAGAGCAAACGGGAUACUUUUCGAGGAUGCAUACGAUAAAUAGGCCCGGACAGGCCAGGCGAGCACGAGCCAUCGGAAGCGGUAAACCCUAUUUGGCCCGGACGGGCCAGGUGAGCACGAGCCAUCGGACGCGGCAAACCCUAUUUGGCGCUGCAGGCGCCAAUUAACGUGUAUUUUGCAAACUGACACCUGCAGCGCCCUGCACUGGGCCGGCUCAUUCGAGUAUUUUUCUUUAUUUUUCGAAAACGAUUCGAGUAUUUUUCUCUAUUUUUCAAAAACGCCAAAAAGUGCUCGCACAGCAAAGUUCGACCCCUCAACCUCUCUGAUCCAACCGCUACGCACUAACCACCUCGCCAUCACCACGCUAGUGCACAAAAAGUUCGUUUCUCUUCUUAUAAUCCUUAUUCAGUUUGGUUUAUACUUUUUCUUUUUUUCUCAUUCUUUUUUGUUUUCUUUAAUGCACCGUUUUAUAAAUUUCGUGUACCUUUUUCUAAAUUUAUGAACUAUUUUUCAAAUUUGAUGAACUUUUUCUGAAAUUUGAUGAACUUUUCUCAAUGUCGAUGCACUUUUUUAAAUUUCGGUGAACUUUUUUUCAAAUAUGGUGAACUUUUCUCAAAUCCGAUGAACUUUUCUCAAUUUCGAUGAACUAUUUCAAUUUCGGUGAACUGUUCGAUAAACUUCUUUCAAAUACAGUGAACUUUUUUCAAAUUUGAUGAACUUUUUUUGAAAUUCGAUGAACUUUUUCAAUUUAGGUGAACUCCUUUCAAUUUCGGUGAACUUUUUUUCAAAUUCGAUGAACUUUUUUUUAAAAUUCGAUGAAUUUUUUUCAAAUUCACAAUCUUUUUUCUAUUUUUGUGAACUUUUCUUUUGAAUUCAUGUUUUAUGUGAAUGCGUUUUCACGUUUAUAUUUUCUUUAUUCAAAUAUAAUUUAUAGUGGGUAUAUAAUAGUAUAUGUUUAAUGUUUAUACUGAAGGAAAGGUCAAAGAGGGCUGUUUUACGAUAUUUAACAAGUAACUGACGGUGGUGCAGUGGUUAGGUCGUGUUCAGUCACGUGGUCCUCGUGAGUUCGAUUCCCAGUUCUCCCUCAAUGAACAUUACAAUUUUUCUUUACAUUUUGUUUUUCAGCAGGUAGCUUACCCUAAAAAAAAACAGGUAGCUGGGCCGGCCCACUUCGCAUCCGUGCAAGCGCCGCGGCGCGAACCGGCGCCUACAGCGCUCAAUAGGAGCUUGCAUCGGACGCAGUGGAUCGGCCUCGACCGGAAAGAAUGGGCCUGGCCUGUCGUGGGCCGCCAAACAAAAAAAAAUGCGCCGUUGCCGGGGAUCGAACCCGGGUCACCCGCGUGACAGGCGGGAAUACUUACCACUAUACUACAGUGACUUGGAUGCUAAUGCUACCCAAUUUAUCUUACUUAGACAUAGAAUUCUCCGGAGUUAAUCGUCUCUCUUGGGCCCAAUAAGUGAGCGAGGCAGUGCUCACGGAAGAGGAGACACUCACAUAAUUUCGACCAGACAUGGAGAAGCAAUGGUUCCAAAAACAAGCAGAGCAAGGAUCUUCGGCCCCAGAAAGAAAAACAUCCCUCGGUGUAGCCUCAAGGCUCAAGCUGACUGUUGCAGCCUUUGGCGGACAAUAUUCAAGUUUCACGGCAUGGUCUCGUGUUCCUGGGGUUAAGUUCUAGCUAGCUCGGCGUCCCGCUUUGUCCCGCAAAACCUACAUGUCACCAUGUCGAGGGAGGAUGAGAACGCUCUGAACAUGAUUCGGUAUCUCUCAAUGAACCCGACACUGUUAUACCACCAGAAAACGAAUCUUCGGAUAACUUUUGGUGUUUCUAGAUGAUAAUUCAGAUACACUUGUUACUAACGAAGCCGGUGACUAUUUGGAACCUUUGAAAGGUGCGAUGUCACGGAUAUUGAUUCUACUACCACUCAACUUUAAUCCACUCACUCCAUAUUCUAUGUCGAUAUCUGUGCCCCUUCGUAUAUCUUUCAAAGAGAAUCAAAUGUACAUCAUUGCUCAUGUGUUCUACAUGCAUGCUUGUUCUUUCUUUAGUUGGUAACACUAUUUUUUUCACUAGAAAAUGAUUAUAUCUCUCAUGAGUGUUUCCUUCUUGGGUUUGUCUGCCUAGUUAAAUGUGAGGGCCGCCCCCUAAGGAAACUAUGGUAAAUAUUUCAGUAUUUAUUAGCGGGAUUAUACCAGUGCAUUGAUUAUUUGAGUGUGUUUUAUAGCAUUUUAUAUGAGGUUUUGAAUUAUCCUCUUUUUAAUAAUUAAUCAAAGAGUGCAAUAAUUGUGAUGCACACUACAACUCAUUAUUACAGUUUACUAACUGGGGUUUCCCCUACCUUGCACGUGCGAUGGUCAACGUGCUUCUCCAUCGCCUUUUUUGGCGGCAUAUCUGAAUGGUGCUCGGGUGUCCUCAGUCUCGAUAGACCAUUAGGAUAGUUCCUUCUGUGGAUGCCGACGAGAAGAUCGAGGAGGGGCGUCAUCUUCGGCUGGGAGAGAAACAGGUUUCGAUGGGAAGAAGACACAUCCUUAUGGAUUGUGUCAUGGAUGUCGGAUCACCGAUAUUCCCUCGCAUGCGGUGCCUAUCCUUGGCAUAGAGCGGAUAUCACCGUCGUUGGCAUCACCCACUUUGCUAUCAUCAGCAAGGACGACACAUAGGACAAAGAGGAGAGGUCGGGUGACGAGUGUUGCAUGGUUAUGGAGGUCACAACUGUCAUUCUCAAGCCAAAGGGAAAUUCAGUAGAGGGGUCUUGGUUGAUAGGGAGAAACAUGAAUAAAAAUAUGGGUGAACAACUACAAGAAUACUAGGAGAACAUCGAGUACCUCAUGCCGACAUCCUGUGUCUAGGAGUGGAGCCACGGGUGUCUGGUCAGUGAGGGAAGGUCAUUGGCAUCUGAUGGUUCACUAUUUGUAUGCAGGAAUCAUGGCCGGUUAGAGCAUGUUGCAUGAUGUCUUUCGUCUCCUUGUUGGGAGCACCUCACAUUGACUCCCUGGCGUUUGCUCGCUCCAGUGAGCAAACUGACCAAAACGCACAAUUCUGAUCCUACACGCUUUUUUGGGAGCGGUAGGGUGAGAAGUGGGCCCACCACGUGGGAGAGGGCGGGGCAAUUUAAACGUGAGGACGGGGGGUCUUGUUGUCGUAUGCAGGCUCACAUAAUAAUCUACGGGUAAAUCUUUUCUAUAACGAACAAACCCACACGCCACUCUCCUCUCUCCUCUCUUUCUCUCUCUCCCUCCCCCCCCCUCUCUCUCUCGUCACGCACGUUCCCCCUUCCCCUCGACAUCCACGUCGACUACGCUUGAACCGCCCAUGAUUGAGCGGUGGAUGAUGCGUUGAGACAACCGCGUGGGCUCCUACUGUGUUUCCAUCCACAUCUGAAGUCCUAGGUGUGGGCAACCAACCGCAUCCAGAUUUGGAGUCACCGCAGUUGGGCGACCAACUACAUCCAGAUCUGGAGUCCUAGGUGUGGGCGACAGCCAUUUUUCCCAGAUCUGGAGCCAACAUCAUGAUUGGCGAUGAAGGAAAGCGGCAUACUGUCUCCGAUGGCCACGUCUUACCACGACUGGCAUCGGAGAAGGUAGUUGUUGCCUCCACUUCGCCCUCUGCUAUCAACAUUGAAGAAGGUAUGGGAAGAACUCGCACUAUUUUUUCUAGAAAAAUUAAGGUAAAAAUUAGUUGAUCUCUGAGUUGUGUUUAUUUUACUUAAUUGAGGGAAAACACUAGACUUGUAUAUUACCAUAGACUGAUUGCAAUCAUUAGACAGAGGGGCAUUAAGUAUUGACGGGACACCAAUUCCCUCAAAAAAAAGAAGUAUUGAUGGGACACUAGCCAACAUCCCAAAGCCACUGUGGAGAUUGGAAUUCAUGCUCCACAUUGUUAGCAGAAAUAGCACAAAUGGUGUUACACUCAGCGCCUUUAUAAGUUUACACAAUUGUGUAGCCAGUGAGCCAGUAGCAACCUCCAGCCAAAGACCUUAACCUUCUCUGGAACCUUAGCUCUCCAAAUCACAUCCCAAAUACUCCAAUUAUAUGUCACACUUGAAGAGCUAGAAGCAGGGGAAUUGUACCUGAAUUUGAGUUGGGUGGCAAGUUUAUAAGAACGUCAUCCAUCACGUAGAAGGGUGAUUUAUACCAAAUAUCUCCUCUAAUCAAAAUCAGAAAAUAGCCUAUGGACCAGGUUAUUAUUGCAUUCAUUUUUAUCGAGAUAAUCAACUAGUUUACCCACCUCAACCUUGAGUUUCUAGCGAAUUUGGCAACCUAAGGCCAUACUGUCUCAGAAUCCAGUUGUCUCUCUGAAUCUGAAUUUUUCGUCCAUUCACUAUAUGCCAGAUGAUGCCUUCCUUGAGUAUCUUAACUCCAAGCCGAGGAUGCCUACGAGGAAAUGACCAUGUCCAGAAUAUCCCACAACGAUAAUUCUGAUUUCAAGACUCUCGAACAUAAACUAUCUGGCUUGUGAAUCAGUCUCCGCCCUUGCCUUGCCAAGAGAGCUUGGUUAAACAUAUGCAUAUCCUAGAAUCCUAGAACACCUCCUCUCUUUUGUUUUAUAAGUUGGUACCAGGAGAGCCAAUGGACUUGUGAUGUCCUUACUCAUCGCCCCACCUAAAGUCCCAGAUAAAAUUUUCAUACUUAUCACAAAAGCCCAAGGACAUUUGAACAAUCUAAAGAAGUAAUUGGGAAGCACUUGAACCACUUACUUGAUCAAGACCCCUUUAGCUGCAUGGGUCAUAUACUUUUCAAUCCAGUCCUUGCACAUUUUUGUGAACCUUUCCAUGAUUGACUAAAAUUCGAGGCAAACAUCCUACCUUCUAGGGUUGGUAAACCCAAAUAUUUACUCUCAAAAGUGGAAGCCACAACACCAAGGGUGACCUUUAUCUCUUACUGGACAUGGGGCGAGCAGUGUUCACUAAAUAAUAAAGAGCAUUUAGCUGGGCUAAGAAGCUAUCAUGUACACCUUUGAAAUAGAUUUGGAGUGUUCUUCACUACCCUCACCUCUCUUCAUACGGCCUUGAAGAACAAAAGGCUGUCAUCAAUAAGGAUUAGUUUAGAGACACCAAGGCUCCCUCAGCAAUUUUGAUAGGCAUUAACCUCCCUUCCAAGACCUGCUUUCUUAAGAUGCUUUCUCGACCAUCCGCAACCAAUAAGAUAGUGCAUUCAGUAUGUGACUAUAAUAUUCCUUCUCAGCCAGUGAGUACUGCUUAUCAUGGACCCAAAAUCUUUCAUGUCCAGGACCAAACAUCCUGUUGCAGCACUCCCAGCUUAGUGCAGUCAUCGGCCAGGGAUUUCAGUAGUCCCCUCCGGCGACGAUUAUCUUUCCCAUAUCUACUCAUACCGAAAGGAUUUCACGUUGCUAUGCACCUUGGUCUGCCUCCGUAUUGCAGCCAUAGAGGAAAGUGGUUGGAGCAUAUGUGUGUACCAUUGUUCACUCUGAAUAAAUCACACCAACCCAACGAUGCAAUUGCACUUUCAACCCAACGGUCACAUUGCUUUUGCCAUACUGUUUAUUAUCGUAUGUCCAGGAAGGCCCCUUAUAGCUCCAAUUAUGAAGAUCACACUAGAACAAGGCUUCUCUGAAAUUGGUAUUUUUCUCUCGAAUAUCCAAGCUACUGAGAAGUGCUCAUGUUGCCACAUCGUCUCAUAAAAAUCACCUAUCAUCAAGUGUUCAUGAGCAUCUGGCUUUAUUCUUUUGGGUAAACUCCAGAUGUGACGUCUUCCUUACUCCUUAGGUUCACCAUGUAGCCCGACACUUCGGGCCAUGGGAAUCAUCAUGAAUUACUCCCUUCAGUCUAUAUUACUUGUCGCUCAGACGGAUGUAUCUAGCACUGAAAUACAUCUAGAUACAUCAGUUUGAGCGACAAGUAAUAUGGAUCGGAGGUAGUAAGACAUUGAUGUACCUCAGGUCAUAUGACAGUCUUUUUUAUUUUAGUUCAUUUAUCUCAAAACAACGCAACGCACCCUUGCCCUUACCAUCAUUCACAAUACAAUUCUGGCGGCCUAGCAUCCACCUAAGAUUAUUGAAACUCUGUUCACAUUGCUGAGUUUCAGAAAGUAAAACGAUCAUCAAGUGGUAUAUGUGUGCACGAGGAAAACUAGCUCUUCAACUAUCCGGGACUGCCCGAGGCCCCAACAGUUCUAGAUCAGGCGACUCAUUUCUCCUGAUAGGUGCUUCCUUAUCACAUGUCAUUCAUCGGCAACCAAUGGGCCGAUAGCUUCCUUACCGCCUAACACACCUAUGUUGCUCAUGCCACCUCCAUUACCCUCACCUCAUGCCUUCUUGUUUAGACCAGGACUCUUCUAACUAGGUGUCACCACAAACUCACUACCAGACUCACUAUCAUGUCCCAUGCAUUUACCCAACACCGCCUCGGUGUUCACCAGGGAUUGGUCAACUUACUCCCCUGGCUUACCCUUGAGGCUAUUCUUAUCUUUGUGGUGCUUGGCUUUCGUGUUACUGGCUCCAGGGGUAUGGGAGGAGCCUUGUUGAGGUUGACUUUGCCCACUUCAUUUUCCUUGCUGGUUGCCGGACUCAUGGAGGAGGCCUGACCUUGAAUCACCUCCGCCCUCCGGGUUUAGCCCCGGCAAGGGAAGGAACCAAGUUGAUGUCGAGUUCUACCCCCUUGAUCUGAGUUGUACAUACAAGCAGCUUUGGAGUGAUUGCCGGUAUCGUGGAUGAGACCUUUCCCACCUCCUGCUGGAGUUGGGAACCCAUGACAGUCAUUGGUGGUGCAGGGGCCGACGCUAGUGUUAGCAUAAUCUUGAUUGUUUUGUUUCAAACAUGAUGUAGUUGGUGCUUGCAUGUCACGUGUCUUUAUUUCUUUGGGGACUAACCAAAGUCAUGUACUAGUAGGAGUUCACGUGUUUGAGUCAAGCUUGAGUUCAAAUAUGUAGUAUACCAUGUGAUCUAGGUUAAGUCAAUUUCCGUGUAGGACAUGGUCUCGUGGGUUGGCCGAGUAUAUAUAUUCGCUGACCGGUGCCACGGUCCACAGUCAGACAGAGUUCUCCACCGUGCAAGGCUGCCCAGGAUCAUCUUCCUUGGCCCGCCAUCAUCCCCAUUGGGGGUGACUUCCUCUGACGCGCUCAUCGCACUUUUGUUCUUGUUAGCCUGACUCUGCCAUGGAUGAUUUGGGGAUCUGAGUGUAUGUGUUUUUGGUGGAUGCGCGAUCCUGUUGUGUUUAUACUAUAUGAACAUAUGAAAUAGUUCAACGGUUUACCACUAUCAGUGUAGAACAAUAUUAGAAUUUCAAUAUUGCUUGCACUUUUUAAUUUCAAAUGUUGAUGAAAUUUAUCACGUAUCUGUGGGCCCCGAAUAGAGGUGGAGACAAGAGCCAAACCUGUUGCGCAACAUAUAUAAAUAACAUUCGGUGGAAAGAAAAAUACAGAACUUGCCUUUUCUUUUCAAAUGUUGAUGAAUUUUAUCAUGAUCAAAUUUUCUUGAGGCAGAUGCACAUUUCGAUGGCAAUAUUGUAGUCUUUGCUCUACUGUGUAUUAUGUUUAUAGUUUCUACAAACAUUUUUAUUGUGUUUGUAUAAUUAUCAUAGCUGUAGUAGUACCAAUUUAAUUAAAAUAGUGAUAGCAAUUUAUAUUAUAUAGUUAACUCAAGUCCAUUACUAAAAUUGUUGUCCUUUCAUGAUCCUCAAUGCAGAAUUUGAAGUUGAUAUCAUGCAAAACAUCAACCGGAGCUCCAACACCCCCAUCUCCGUGCACCGUGUUAUGUUUGGACCCGAAGGCUGGGCGGACCUACCACAUGGAUUAUUGCACUCCAUCAUUGUCCUGUUGGGUUCAACCCAUGACCUUCUUGCAUUCAUCGCCACCUGCCCUAGCUGGUAUGCCGCAUUCAUGUCAAUCAAUUCUACCUUAGGCGAGCUCUUCCCACCUGUUAUUUUCCGGAACUGUGCCGACCAGACAAGCUCAGCUGGCUCUAACAUUGGAAACACAUGGGAGCUCAUUGAUCCUGUAUAUCCAAGUACUCUGUUGUGUCGCUUGACCCCUCCAAG